AAAAAAAAAAACUAUUGCUGGUGAAGAAUUUGUAGAAAUUAUGGUGAGGAGUUGAUGUUCAAUUUUUUAUACAUAAAUCUGGGUUUUCUAGGUGCUGAUGGUGAGGAAUUUGUAGAAAUAAUGGUGGGUUUUCUGGGUGAGGAAACUGUAAAAAAGAAAGGUGUUGAUGGUCGAUUAGUUUGGCAAUUUCAUGUUAGAAGUGGAGUUGUUUGGGGGAUUUGUGUGCUGCCAAUACUCACAUGGCUUGAUUGGUAUUUGUAAUUUUCUUGAAUUUGUGUUCUGCAAAAUUUUUUUAUUAGAUCAUGAAGAGAUUGAGAUUUGUUUCCAAGAUUUAUUGUGAAGUUCUUUUUGUGCCCGAGUCAUUUCAAAUAUGCUUUUUUUUUUAAUUCAUAUUUCUUGCAUUGGUAGGUAGAAUUUAAUUUAAUUUUAGAAGUAAAAUAAAAAAAUAAAAAAUCAAAUCAAGACUAUUAAGAAUAUCAAUAACAAGAUUCUAGAAAAAAAAAUUAGGAAAAGGGUAAUAAAUAAAGCAAACCGAUACCAACCAAAUGAGUAGUUGAGGAAAUUCAGAAUUAGAAAAAAAAUAUAGCAGUGAAAAGAAAAGGAAAAUAAAGUUUUUUAGAAGAAAAACAGAGUUUUAAAAAAAAUAAAGAAAUAAAAAAAAAUUUAAAUUUAAAUUUCUUUUUUAUUUUUUGAAAUAAAAAAACUUUAACAAAAAGGUAACACAUUUCACCAUUUUAGUGGCUCAUAUGUGGUCAGAAAUUAACAUUGUUAGUUCUUAGCCCUCAUGUCACGUUAGCACUUAGCCCUCAUGUGUUUUUAUAUUAAUAUUAAUUUAAUUAUUUUAAUUAAUAUAAAUUUAAAAUAAAAAUAAUCUAAAAAAUAAUAUAUAAGUGCUGAUGUGACACAAUAUAAUUGGUCAAUGAUUGUUUAAUAGUGUUAAGAUUUAAGGAGAUUUAGAUAACAGUGAAAUAGUUUAAAUACAACUCCAAAUAAAAAGAAAGUAUAAGUGUCAGGUAGUUUAGAUUGCAAUUUGUUAAUUGAUCCAAUAUUUUAUUAUAUGUGGAGAGUAAAAAGUGUAACAAUUAUUUUCUUACAUGUAGCCUAAAAGGUUCAAGUAAUAGAAUAUAUUCACACUUUUUUUAAAAAAAAAUACCUAACACGUAUGACUAGUAAAAUUAAGUUUUGUUUUUUAUUUUUUUAAAAUUUUUUAUUUUUAUAUUGCCUAAAAGGUACUGAUGAAAUUAAAACAUUGACACAAAUAUUAUAUUUUUAAAAAAUAAUAAAUUUUAAACUAUAUAAUUUAGAAAAUCAUUUUAAAUGAAUCUAGACAAUUGUAUGUCUAGAUUUAUUUUGGACUUACCUUUUAAGUGUUUUUAUUAAUUUUUAUUUUUUUUGAAAAUUUUGAAACUUUUUAUAAAUAUAUAAAAAACUUUUUAAAUUUUUUUAUUUUAUAAAUUUUUAAGUUUUGAAUUAAAUAAAUCUGGACAACCAUUAAUCUAGGUUCCUUCCAAUAAAUAAAUAAAUAUUUCUUUUAGUUUUUUUAUUGUUUUAAAAAUUAAAUUUUUUAUUUUGCUAAUGUGAUGUGGCACUAUCAUAUUAGCAAUGGUAACUAAUAUGGAACGCCACGUCAAAGUUAUAACAAUAAAAACAAAAAAUAUUGAUAAAAAUUUUUAAUUGGUACAAUUUAAGAGUUAAAAACUUAAUUAAAUGUAUUUUUCAUGAAUAAACUUAAUUGAAUGAAUAGAGACAUAUGAAAGGAAAAGUUCCAAAUUGUUGCAGUAGAUACUGAGGGACAUGAUAAUGAUUGGAUAGAAGAAAAUCAUCAAAACCUGUCAUUCUUUAUGUUUAGGUUUAUUAAAGAUUUCUUUUUGGAGGUUUUUGUAAUUCUAAAACAGUAUAUAGACAUAUAUGAGUUAAAUAAUAGGUACUACUAUAUAACACAAAAUUAAAGAUAGGGUUGAAUCCAAAUGGAGACUUAAUUUUGAGGUUUUUAAUUUUGAUUUAGAUUUGAUUUUGGUUAUUAGGGAUUGGGUUUUGAUUAGAUGAAUUAUACAUAUAGAAAUGAACCGGGUUCAAGAAAAAUUCACCCAAAGCCCGGCCCAAAUUAUAAUUUGAUUGAAUUAUUGUGCAAGCCUAUUAUCAUUUUUCUAAGUCUGAUGAAGUUUCUUAUAAUCAUAAAUGGACUAACUUCAUAUAAUACCUUGAAGUUUAUCAAAUUCAUCAAUAUGGUUUUUGCACUUUAAUUUUUUUUAAAUUAAAAAAAAUAUAAGAAUUUAAAAAAUUUAUUGAAAUAAAAUUAUUUUUAAAUUAUGAAAAGUUCAAUUUACUUGUUAAAAAAUAUAUAUCAUUUUCAAAAAUGAAACUUAUAAAUCCCUUGUAACCUCCCCAACUCAACCUAAACGUUAGACUCGAAUUCGGGAGAUUACAUUGGCCACCGAGAUGACAUAGUACGAUUGAAGUUUAUAAAACAGUCAAUUUAAAAAAUAUAUUUAUUUUAGAAGAAAAUUUAGUCCAUUUUCAAGAAAACUCGCGAGUUAUAAAAAAAAACGUUUUAGUUUAACUUUCCAAAGUAACGGUGACUUCUUUAAGAAAACUUAGUUAAUUUUUCAUACAUUUAUUACUCAAAAUUUUUAAUUACAAUCUAGCGGCGGAAAAGUAAUUUUUAACUUAGUUUUAAUAAAAUUUGUAUUUCAUGCUUAAUCAAUUAAAAACCAUAUUUUAAAUUAAGUUAAAUGUAAUGCAUGCUAAAUAAAACAGAAACCUAAGUUUCAUGCCACAGUUCAAAAAUAAAUCCAUACAAUCUCUGAAUAAUAUAUAAUCAAAUAAUAAAUAUAAAAUAUUUAUAUAGAAAAGUAAAUCCGAGCCGAGCCCCUCCGAACGCCGUGUCCACAUCCUAACCUGGCGGGUUAUCUGAAAACAUGGAAAUUAAAAAGGGAGUGAGUUAUGAAGCUCAAUGUGCAUUCAAUCACAAGAAAAUCAAUAUGGAACAGUAAACAUAGCAUAUAAGAUAUCAAUUCAUUAGAACAAACAAAUUCGUCUAACAAUUCACAAUUCACAGUAGCGGUUUUGAUAAUAACACAUCACUAUAACAUUUUAGAACUCACAAUUUUAUAUGCAUAUGCUUAUGAAUGGCAAUACAAUUCUAGUUUAUCAGAAAAAGUCCUACUCCACCGCUACACACUACACUAUGAGUUCCCAAGAACUCAUCCAGCCUUAUCACUCUGCGUUGUGAACAAACCACCGUUGAUUUGCAAUUAUUGCCACUUGUUUUGGGUCCACAACAUAUUUGUAAAUUAAAUGAACUGCCACUUGGCUCGUGAUCGAACCACAUAUUUGCAAUUAGUGCCACUUGUUGAAGGUGCACAACAAGUUUGUAGAUUAAACAAAUUGCUACUUGGUUCAUGAUCGAACUGCAUAUUUACUAUUACUAUCAUUUGUUAUGGGUGCACAAUAUAUUUGCAGAUUAUUGAACUACCACUCUUACUCCGUAUAUAUCAUUCCACCCCAUGCAAUGCAGUAUGACAUGUUUUGUAAUAGAAUAAAUCAACGCUAGCAAUAAUCAUCCUUAAAUUGUAUUCGAUUUAUCACUAGCAAUUAAUAUGCUUAACGUGUAUUCAACACAAGCAGUAAACAUGCUUUAAGAGGUAUUCAAUAGGGUGGUGACAAUAUUAGAACUAAUAGUUUAUUUGUUUCACAAUGACAGUAGCAUGUAAUAUACACUUCAUGUAUGUUAUAGCCAUAACACUUCAAUCAAUCACAAACUCCAAAAUUGCACAAUAUCAGGGACUGAGUUGAGCAACUAAAAACUCUAAAAAUAAUUCUGGGUAUAUACAACAAAACAUAUCAUAAAUUUUUGAGCAAAAAUGUAAAACAGGGGGCACAUCGCCGUGUAGGGGGCCAUCUGGUCCCCACUCCCGUAUGGCCCUAAUCUUACACAUGAUCACCACCGAUUCGCUUGGGAAAAAACACACACCUUUCGUCGCGGUUCGAUUGACGUUCCUCACAAUUAAUUUUGAUCUUGUUCACCUAAAUCCAAUCUUUCUACAGCAAACAUACACAAUUAACAAUUGGUAUCAAGAUUGGAAAGAUUCGAAGAAAUUGAUUAAUUGGCUCAAAAGAUUAACACGAGAUAAUGAUAUUAUGGAAGUUUGAGAUCUAAUCAUUGAGAUGAAUGCACUUACUGAUUUUUUGGAAGCUACUUGACGACAAUCUAAGUACCGGUAGAAAUAAACAAACGAGGGAACGAUUUGAUUCGGGAGAGCAAAGUAAUUAUCAAAAUUUAGGAUGAAAAUAUAGUGUAAAGAAAAGGAAAAAUAAAAAGUGAAUAAAUAGAAAGAUGGAGAACAGGAUUUGAAAAAGGACAAUAUGAAAAUCCAAUUUGGAAAAUGAGAGAAAAAGAUGACGGAAUUCUAAUUCUAUUGGGAUUUUGAGGAAGGGCAAGAUAUGAAUUCUAUUUAGGAAAGAAUUUGGUGAAUUAAACCCUAGCACAUGCAAAUUUCUCAAAUUAGGAGCAAGGGGCGACAAUUUGCAAACUUAAUUUAAAAGUAACUGGAAGGGAGAUACGUGGCUCAAACUCGGGUCUAAAGUGGUAAUAACGCUUGCCUUAACCAUUGGGAUUCUACCCAUUUCUUGUUAAAUUUCUACUCCAAAUAAUAUUUAUUUUAGUAUAUUUUUUAUCCUAGGUUUCUGAAAAUUAAAGUUAAAAAGAAAAGAAAUGAGAUGAGUAAGGUUUAAACCUAAGCUAUCUAGAAAGAAAAGCUAAUACUUAACCGUUAGGCCUAAGGCUAUUUCUUGCUUAUUUCAGUCACUUAAUUGUAUGUAUUUAUUUCGGGCUCAACUUACAUAUUCUUUAUUAGCUUAUGCAUUUACUUAAUAUUUUUAUUAACUUAUUUAACUUUAUAGUUUUUUACACAUCCCCAUUUUAGCUUAUAAUAAGUAAUACUCAUAGUCAGGUCUCAUUAUUAAUAGUUUAAUUCAUUUUACCCAUUUUCCAAUUAGGUCAUAACUCGAUUAAAACAUACUAUUUUCAAAUUAAACCUUGUAAUCAAGUUUCAUUUUAGAUUAAUUCAUAUAAUAAUACCUUAUUAUAUUAUUUUAAUAUUUUAAUUAAUUAUUUCAAACACUCGAUUUAUAAACGCUUAAAGAUAACCUUAUAAAUCAAGGUGUGACUACUUCCAGUUUUCACAACCCGAUUUCUUUUAUCCCGAUUUUUGGAGUAUUCAAAUUAAUUUUGAAAUUGAUAUUUUUCAAUAAUACAAAAAAUUAUUGACUAUACAACUAAUACAACUCUUAAAUUUUUAAAAAUAUUCUGAAUCAAAUUAAAAUUAAAUUUUCAUGUGUACAUUUAAAUAAAAAUCAAAAUCACAUGUGUAAUUACACCAAAUUAAAGAUUAUGUAUCGCAUUAAACAAUUGAUCAAAGUUCAUAUGUAAUUUUAUAUUUAUUGUUAUUUUAAAAGAUAAUAUACUAUUGUCUAGAAAAUACUAAAUAGUCUCCUUUUUUAAUUUUUUAAAGAAAACUAAAAUAACUCAAUUUAAUUUAAUAAUUUAAAAAACUAAGUUUUUAUUUUUUAUUUUUAAAAAUAAUAUUCUAUAUUAGAAAUUAUUUUAAACUGCAAGAACCAUAUUCCUAGAUUUAAUAAAUUUUAAAAGCCAUUAUGAUAUUAUCCCAAUUUUGGAAUGCAUAAAAGUUAAAACAUAUCUCUCAUAAGGCGUCUGUUGCCUUUAGCCCAAAUAAUAUCAUGAUGGGGCUUAAAACUUUUCAAAAUCUAUGAAUAUAGUCCUGGCACUUUAACAUAACACUUAAAAACAAUAUAUUAUUUAAAUUUUUUUUAAAAAUAGAUUCUUUAAAAUAAUAAAUUAAAUUAUUUCAUUAGUUCUUUAAAUUUUCAAAAAGGAGAUUAUUUAAUAUUUUCUAAAAAAAUAGUCCACUAUCUCAAUUUGCCUUUGUUACAGUUAAAUGUUACAUUUGUUGUUAUAACAAGGAAUACAACAAAGUAGUAUUGCGAGAAAGAAGAUAAACACAACUAAUUUACUAAAAUUGUUUGGAAUAAAAAAAUCCUAUCUCUGUGGAACCUAAUUCAUAGAAUUAUUUUACUUCACAAUUAACCCGAUACAGUAAUUGUAAUUUCAAAAUUAUCUCAAAAUUGUUAUAAUCACUCUUUCAAAAACCCAACCUUACAAUUAAAAUAACUAUCCAAAGAAUACAUAAGAAAAUAAUAUUAUAAUAUUAAGUAGCAAGAUAGUGAAAUACUCAAAUAACAAACAUUCUAGAAGAGCAAAUAAGCUUCAAAUAAUUUUAUCAAAAUUUGAAGUAAAUAUAUGCCAAAUUUAAAUAUUUCCAAUAAUAUUAUCUAUUUCAAUAUUUGAAUAUAAACUUGAUUACCUUCAAUUUAAUCUAACAAGAAACAUUUUUGAAUUCUCCUCUUCCCUUUAAAAAUGUCACCACAUGAAUAAGAGUUUAAACUCUUUUAUAUUUAGUUCCGUUGUAAAUAAAAAAUACAUCUUGCAUUUGAUGCCUAAUUAAAAUAUUAAUUAUCAAUAUUAAUCUUAUACAAGUUAAAAAAGUAAUAGAUCAUUUUUAGUGGUAUCAAAAAUGGAAAUUACGAAACCCCAUUUUCUCAUGAUCGAGUCAAUAAAUAUUAAUUAUUAAUAUUUACUAGUUUAUUAUGGUUUUAUAUUAAAUCUUGGUCUGAUAAUUUUGGUGAUUGAAGGAUUAAUUAGAGUACAAGGACUAAAUUGUAAAACUUAAUAGUCAUUGAUUUUUAUUAGUUAAAAGGCUUGAAUAGUUAAUAUACAAGGGUUUAAGUAGUAAUUAGACCAUAAUUUAAUGGCAUGGAUGGUUAGUGCUUAGAUUUUUAAUUAAUUAAAUGUUAAAAUUAAGUUAAAAGUAAAGUUAAAAUAUAAUAAAACAUAAACAAAUCAUUCAUCUCUUUCAUUUAGUCAUCUUCACCAUUGGGAAUAAGAAAAAGAGAAGGAGGAAGCCAUUUUUUAAUGCUUAAACUUUCGGCCUUGCAUGUAAGCUAAUUCCAAACUCAUUUUUCAUAAAUUUUAUGUUUUUGAGAUUGUUGUAGCUUAAUCUAGCUAACCUAGAUACUAAAUUGUAAAAAUGUUUAAGAUUUCAAAAGUCAUCAUUGUUUUUUUAAGCUUUUUGGAUGUUAACUGGUAGAGUUUGAAGCUUUGUUAUGGAAUAUGACUGUUUUGUAAAGUAGUUUUUGUUAGUUUUAAGUUUAGGGACUAAAAUGUAAUAAUGUCGAAUUUAACAUAAAAAUUCUAUAAUAUUCUAUGCCUGAGAUUUAUUGAAGAAUGAAAUUGAAAAUGGAAUAAAAACAAAGCUCAAAUGUAAAAGAUAUGCUAGUUUCAAUUUUAGGGACUAAAUUGAAUAAAAGGUAAAAGGUUAGGGAAAUGUUGUAAAUUAUUAUUAAAGGGUCAUAUGCAUAUGUUUAGACAUUACAAGGUAUUUGAAGUUGAUAAUUAAAUUCAAAUUAUUAUAUAAAUCAAUAAACGGAUCAACCGGUCAAGAAACGGAUCAACCAGUCAAUAAACGCGAAAAAAGAAAAACUAUUGAAUAAAUCUUGGUGUCGUGUUUGUUGUUGUUGUUUUGAUUAGGUAAUUUCAUAUAAUACUUAUUUUGUUUAAUAUUUGAUAUUAUUUUAUUGCGUUUAUAUGUGUGUGUUAUUUGUGAAAGAAUUACUAAAACUAAUAAAUUUGGUAUUGAAGGACCAAUUUAUAAAUUGAGGUUUAAUUGAUAGGUUUAAUUGAUAAAUACAAGUGAGAUGUAUAUGCCAAUUAUUGUAUUACAUGCAUAUUAAAAUGUUAAAGGGUCAAAUCUAGAAUUAAGGCCUUAGUGAACUUAGUGAAUGAUUAGAAUGCAAAUGACAUGUCAUUAUGGUCUAAAGUAUCAGGUACUAUGUACUGGUGUUGGAUACCUUACCGAUGAUUGAGAUCCAACAUUUGUUAUGGAUUCUCCAUAGCUUGUGUGAGCAACAUUGAGUAAAGGUUAAUGACCCUAUUUACAAAUCAUGUGAGUAAAGAUAUUUACAAAUCAUGUGAGCAUCUCUAUCCUGAGUAUUCGAGGUUAAUUUAUUAUAGUUCUCUGGGCAAAACUACGUUAUGAAAAUGAAUCAGAAAGAAAUGUCAUAUGAGUAUGAAUGUUGUUCAUGGUUUGAUUAUGGUUAAUAUGUUUAUCAUGUUAUGUAACACCAAUAACCUGUUUCUGUCACCGGAAUAGGGUUAUAGAGUAUUACUAUACAAAUCAGACAUUUUAUAACAAAUAACGUUCAAUUAUCAAAUUAAUUGUAUAAAUACGUAUGUAAUUCAAAAUGGAAUAAAACAUACAUUUACAGGCCUUAAAUCGAGCCUACGAGGUCUUAAAAAUAGUUUAGGAACAAUUAGGGACUAAUUCAAAAUAAAUCAUAAAGUUUAGAGAAAAACUAAAAAUAUUACUUCAGGGGUCACACGGUCGUGUGUCUAGGCCGUGUGACUAACCCACACGCCCUUGUGCUCACCCGUGUAACUUACUAAUUUAGGUCACAUGGCCAUAUUGUAGGCCAUGUGCCAACCCGUGUGAACCCUGCACUAAACACGCUCAAGGCACAUGCUUGUGUGUGACACAUGAUCGUGUGACUGCCUGUGACCCAGGCCGUAUGUGACCAAAAAUGUCUCGAAACAAGCCUAACUUCCAUCCAAUUUCAUAGGUACCUAUAUCAUCUCAUGACACAUGAUUUCCAGUUUCAAACACAUUCAAAACCAACAUAUCAUGCUAAAUCAAUCAACCAUAAACACUAUUCAAUAUCAUGCAAGUCACCCACGUCUCAAGCAACUAGCAAUUCAAUAACUUAACUAGACUUCCAUAGUAUCACAUUUGACCACAUCUAGCUUACAUAUAAGUUAACUUCUUACCAUUUGAUACAUAAAUUCAUACCACAUUAGCUAUUCAUUUCACAAUAUUAUAAGCACCCACAUGCAUAUUACAACCAUACAUACGAACCAUAUCAACCAUGAGCAAAUGGUCCUACUACAUAACAUAAUCACAUUUUCCUAUUACAUGCCAUAUAAGCUGAGUUUGAAAUCAAAAUCUACCAAAAGGAUUUUGGAUAAUGUGAUCUCCUUAAGUUGAUCCGAUUUGCCGACUUCCACAAAACGUAUCUACAAGGAAAGGGCAAAGACACGAGUAAGCUCACGUAAAGCUUAGUAAGUUCGUAAUAAACUUAAACUUUAGCUUACCGUAAAUGAUGAAAUUUUUAACAUUUUACAAGAUAAUUAAAUAUCAUGAUCAUGAGUUUGUUAAUUACUUAUACACAUCAUAAGUCUCACAAGGUCAGUGAGUUCAUAUGUAAAACAUAUAACUUUAUCAUGAUAUCAAACUUAUACAUGAAAAACACAUUUGGCAUAUAAACCAACUAUCAUAUAUGCAUUUGACACUCACAUUCCAUUACAAAUAUCUAUAUCCAAUGUCCUAAUCCAUACAUAUAUUUUCACAUAACCAAUUCACAUAACAAUUUCAUGUAAUCAUUCCUUAUAACCAUGUCGUAUAACUAUAUCUAUAAUCAUUUCAUCUACCGUUUCAUUUUACCAUUUCAUAUAUAACACCUAAUCUUUCUGUACAACACAUUUUGUUUCAAUAAUCCAUAUAAAUUUCUUCAUUCAUUGUUUAAUACCAUAUAACUAUUUCGUAUAUUCUGUUUCAUUUUAUUCAUUUAACACCUGAUGAACCAGAUGAAAUAACGUCGGAUACGCGGGAACCAUGCUCACAAAAAGUGUGCCUAUUAUUGUAAUUAUAAUUGCUCUCACGAGCCAUAUUUUAAAAUGCUUGCACGAGCUGUAAAAUGGGCCUGCUCACACAAAUUGUGGGCCAGGAUGUUAGGCUACACGAUGCUGCUUACAUAAGCUGUGGAGAAUUCGCAACAAAUGCAGGACCUUAGCCAUUUGUAAGACAUCCAUAACUGGCAUUCGAAACUGUAAUAACCCCUAAUGACAUGUCAUUUGUAUCCUAAGUAUUCACGAGGUUCAUACGGGUCAUAAACCAUGUUCAUUUCAAUUAACUUUCCUCAUAUUAUAUCAUUACGAGCACACAUCUAUAUAUUUCUUAUUUAUCAAACAUAACAUUGAUUUAGCUAAUAAUGCAAUUUAGUUCAAUUUACUAAUUACCAUAUAUCAAUCAAUUUAAUUCUUUCGUAGCAUAAAUAUUAACUAACAUAUCAUAUAAUUAUUUAAGCAUUUAUUUGUCACACGAGUUCAACUAUAUCUUUUCUUCAAUUUCAAUCAUGACCCUCAAUUAUAAUUUCAUUUGAAUUUGAUUCAAUUCCAUAAUUUAAUAUUUACUAUGCAAGAAAUUUAAAUACAACAUACUUAAAUAUUUAAUAAUUUACAAAAUAGAAACUGAAUCAAUUACUGAGGACUAAUCAACAAUUUUUCAUUUUCCCCGUUUGUCUAUCGAUUGAUCCAUUUCUUGAUCUAUAUAUAAUAAUCUAAUUCAAACAACUAAAUCAACAGAAAAAUUAAACCAUUUUAUGCAAUUAAGUUCUUUUUGAUAUUUUUAUAAAAUUGCCCCUAAGAUUUCACUUUUAUGCAAUUUAGUCCCUAAGUCCAAAUCAUGCAAUUUACCCAUUUUCAACCAAAUUCAAGCUUAGCCAAAUUAUUUGGGACCCUAUUACAGCCCAUAUUUAUUGUUAUUUCACAUCAAGUCCUCAAAAUUUUAUCACUUUAACAUUUUAAAGUCCUUAAACAUUAAAAUUACCAAAAUUUACUUUACAAAAUAGUCCUAUUUAUCAACCAAGCUUAAUAAUCCGCCAUAAAAAUUCAAGAAUAUCCAAAACUCAUGUAACACCCCUAACCCGUAUCCAACACUAGGACAGGGCUCGAGGCAUUACCUGAACUUUACACUUUCAAUAUACUAACUCGGGUCACAAAAUUUCAUUUGAAUUUAAAACUUUUCAAUCAUGAACAUCUCGUCCCUUGUAUAGGCCUUCGAGACCUAUAACAUAUUGGAAGGCAAUGCGGGACAAAUACGGGCACGUUCGAUUAGCCUUGGGCUCCUUAGAAAUUUUUCCUUAACUAAAAGGGACACACACCCAUGUAGGUGGAUUGUGUGGACUCACACACCCGUGUAUCUUGGGGCACGCCCAUGCCCUUCAACCGUGGGCAACACUGACUUAUCAACACGGCCAUGGAACAUGCCCGUGCUACCUACCCGUGGACGAAACUGUCAUUUUAACACGGCCAUGGUGCACGCCCGUAUGGCCUACCCGUGUACAACUUUGAGCUAAGGUUUUAAGUGCAAGGGACACACGGCCAUAACACACGCCCAUGGGAGGGAAUCGUGUGUCACGCAUGGCCUAGACACAUGCCCGUAUGUUCAACCAUGUAGACUUUAUUAGGCUAUUUUCCAAGCCUUUAGUCACCCCUUUAUACUACUUGUGCCUAAUGGUUACCAAGUUUGAGAAGAAGCAUGAUUAUAUACUUGUAAAUAAUCUUAAUGAAAAUAGUUGUAUGGAAACCUCAUAUCAUUGGUUUCAUACAUAAAUGGUUAUUUCCUAUUUAGUGUCAUGAGUUCCCUUAUUACUUUAAUCCAUCUGAAAUUGGCUCAUUCAUGUGAUUCAUUGCCAAUUGAUAGCAACCCAUCCUUCGUAAUUAAAACCAUGCAUAAAAGCGUAGGUCAUAGCCUACUUAAAUUAAGCCAAUUUUCAUGGCCAUAUACAAAGAGAUAAACAUAUUUUUACAUGCCUUUACUGGGCAAAUCAAAUGACACAUAUAACAAAGUACUCAAAAAUAGUAUAUAUGCCAUUGAACAAAAUAAAUUGAGUCUUUAUACCAAAGCUUGUUUAGUUGAUAGUGUGUUCACUCCCUAAUUGUCUUCCAAUCCUUAUGAGCCCUUGAGCUUUGUGAGACAGGGAAAAAUGGAAGGGUAAGCAUUUUCAUGCUUAGUAAGCUCGAAUAAGUGGAAAGUAAACUUAUCGAGUAAUUAGCAAACAUCCAUACUUAUUUCAUGAAAUCAUCCAUUAUGAAAUGAUUUCCUAUCACAUGCAUUCAAUCAAUGAGUUAGUCAUAUAAUCAUGUAUUAUAUAAUUUAACUAGAUGAGCUCAUCAUUCAACAUUUCAUUCAUACAUGUAUAUCCCAUGUUAAUCUCAUUGAGUUUCUAGGAACCUCGAUGGAAUACCCAAUAUCCAUCAAUUCAUACGAAUGAUUAUUCCAUCUAUGCACUCCCGCUAACCUCACAUCAUAUGGAAGGAUUACCAGUCCAGGCUAAAUCCCCCAUUAUAUGAACUCAUAAGGUGAUGUCGGGAUUACUAGUUCAGGUUAAAUCCCUUAUAGCAACAAACACCCUUAAUGAGCUCAGAUCUGAAUUACCAAUCCAGGCUAAAUUCAGACCCUAAUCGGAUUACCCGUCCGGGUUGAAUCCAUCAUGCACACAUAUUCUUCGGGAGGCUUGAUCAUUCAAGGAACACCCGUCCGGGCUAGAUUCCUUUACCUGAGAUCUCGGAUUACCCGUCCGAGCUAAAUCCUUACUGCAACACAUGCAGGAUCUCAGUUUACCUUUUCAAUGAGGGUUUAUCCAUCGAAUUCCCUUUGUCAACCUCAACCGAGAUAUUUUUCACAUGUUAUCAUCAAUAUGCAUUUCUAUGAUAUUUCAUACCAAUAACAAACACAAUCAUCAAGCAUUCAUAAUUCAUACAAUUAUGCAUAUCAAGGGUUUACUUUAAGUUAUCCGAACUUACCUGGUACUCUUUUCGAAGUUGUGUUUCUGUUAUUUCAAAACCUUGCAUUUACCACGAUUGACCUCCGAAAUUUGUUCCUCGGGGUCUAUAACAGUAAAAUUAAUUCAUUAAUACCCCACAUUAUAUAUUUCAAGUUUAAUACCUGCCCCCGGUCCAAAUGAUCGUUUUGCCCCUAACCUUUCACAUUUUUACGAUUUAGUCUCUAGGCUCGUGUAAUGAAACACAUGCAAUUUCUAUCUUACCCAAGCCUAGCAGAACAUUUUUCUCUGUUAUGGAAACCCACAUUUUUCAUUAUUUUCCUCAUUUCCACCACACAUUUACAUCUUUUGCAAAAUAGUCCCUAUAAGGGUUUCUCAUGAAAACCAACUUGGAAAAGAUGUUUAACACACAUUUAUCUUUCAUAUUCUUCCAUAAUCCAUCAAAAUACCAAUAACUCAUACAUGGGUAAAUUUUUGAACAUGAACCCUAGCGUGAAAUAUGGGUAGAAAUGGAGAGAGCAAACUACUGGGAUUUCAAAAAUACAAAGAACAUGAAAAACAGGGCUUGGGAGCACUUACUAUUGAGCUUGAAAAUUGAAGAAACCCUAGCUAUGGUGUCCUCCAAAUUUCGGCAACCAUGGGAAGAAGAUGAACAUAUUUUUGCUUUAUUUUUCCCUUUUUAUUUCAUUAAAAUGCCUAAUGACCAAAAUGCCCUCAUCCAUGCAAGCCCAUUUUUGUCCAAAAAUUUAGAACUUGGCAAAUUGAUCUCCAAGACCUUCUAAUUCAUAAUCUACAGCAAUUUCAUACAAAUUGCUUCUAAAAUCCAAGUUUUUCAAUUUAUUCAAUUGGACAUCUUAUACUUAGAAUUUCUUCAUGAAACUUUAACACAUGCAUAUACUCAUAUUCUAAGCCUCAUAAUAAUCAUAAAAUAAAUAUUUUGAUGUCAGAUUUGUGGUCCCGAAACCACUAUUCUGACUAGGCCCUAUUUCAAGAUGUUACAACUCAUCAAUGGAAUAAUCCAUAAUCUUUAAUUGUCUUGAAAACAGAGAUACGGGUUAGCUGGACCUAGUUGCAACGAUCUUAAAAAUAUAAAAAUUACAAGAAACCGGUUAAAAUCAGCUUACCAAAUUGAAAGACAAGCCUGGAAGAAGUUUCCCAAGCCUUAACAGUGGUGUUUCGGCCUUUCUCCCCACAAAUAAGAACAGAAAAUGUUGAUUUAAUCGUUUAAUUUCUUUAGUUUAACUUACCUUUUAACUUUUUUACUAAAUUACCCUUUGAGUGUAACUUGUAAAAGUCAAGUCCAUAAACGUUCUUAACAUAAGUAUAUGGUAUAGUUACCAUUUAAGGAGGGUUUUCAAUUAUUUUAAACUUUUAACUAAACAAGCUUAAUUUUAAUUUAACCCUAAACUAAUUAGGACUAAAUGAGAAAAUAGCCCAAAAGUUAGUGGAUUUAAUCAUGUCACCACCACUUGGACUUUUUGACCAUGGUUUAAUCACCAUUUUGGUUCUUUUAGUAUUUUAAAUCUAUAGCGAUUAACUUUUACCUCUUUUACAAUUUAAUCCUUUUACAUUAAUUAAGUAAUUAAUCGUAAAAAUUAUCGGACCAAACUUUAAUUUACCUAUAAUACGACUCUGUAAAUAUUUUAAUAUUUACAACCUUAAAUUACAAAAAUGAAGCCCCAAUACCUCAUUUUCAACAACCACUUGACUUUUGGACUAAAUCACUUAUACUAACCUUUAAUUCAAUUAAUUAAAAUUCAUCAAAUAGAAAUUUGAUAUAAAAUUUUUAUUGACUCGUAUAAUUUAAAUAUUAAUUAUACGAACUUACUCGUCGAAUUUGUGGUCCCGAAACCACUAUUUCUGACACCAAUGAAAAACGGGUUGUUAUAUGUUACUUGUGUACAUGCUAAGCUUAUUAUGUGAUAAUGUACUAACCAAUAUGGUUAUGGCAUGAAUUAUGUAAGGUGACAAAGAAUACCAAGUUUUUAUGUUAUUUUCAAUUAUUGAGUUAUGAAAUGUCAAGUAUGUUGUGUUAAAUUUCAUACAAACUUACUAAGUUUUGAGUAAGCUUACCUUUGUUUUGUUUUUCUUCCUUGUGGAUUGUCGAAAAUUGGGCAUUCAGUUGGAUCAAGACAGAGCUCACACUAUCCACAAAUCCCUUUAGUAGACUUUUGAACAUUUUUGACCCGGUUAUAUGUGGCAUGUAAAUAGGUGUAAAUGGUUUAUUUAUGUAUGUAUGUUUGUAUGUAUGUACGUAUGUAAGUAUAGAUGUAUGUAUGUAUGUAUGAAUAAACUUGUGUUUGGUUGUUCUUACUAUAAAUAUAUGUGUAAUGUAUAAAAUGUUGGUGAUGGUUUGAGACUUUUCAUUUGGUCACCAUAUGUGUUGAAUGUUAAAAUGGUUAUUUGAUGCUCAAACGGUUGAAUUGAAUGACAUUUUGGUAUUUGGAUUGUACAAGGUUCCUAAAUGCAUGUUUGGUAUGUUAUAAAUAUAGAAUGAGGAUAAAUAUUGAGUGUGAAUUUGGUACUAAACUUAUGUAUGAUUAGUUUUGGUAACAUGGUUAUUCAUAGGUGGCCUAACUUAGUGUUUUGAUUGCUUAUAGUGAACCUAUAUGGUCAUGGUUUAAAUUUGGCAUGAAAUGGGAUUAAUGAUUUGAUUUGAAUAUUGUUGUGAAAUGGUGCCAUUGAGGCAUAUUGGUUAGUUGCUUAAGAAAAUGGUUUAGGUUUGUUUUGGCAUGUUUUGAAUAGGUGAAUAUUGGACAUUAGCAUUGAUAUAGGUUUUCACAUGGUUGAGAUGGUUACUUGUUUGAAAAGAUGCAUUUUUGCUACACAUGGUCUAGCACACGAUUGUGUGUCUCCACACGGGCUGGUGACAUGCCUGUGUGAUCACUAAGGUAAGUUAUCGUGUAGUCCACAUGGUUCCUGAAUGUCACACAGGUUGGCCACACGCCCGUGUAAACAUUGUUGUUUUAGACAUCAAAUUUUCACACGGUUACAGUAAGAUACAUAGUCCAGCUAUAUGGCUGUGUAAUUUCCUAGUGAUUUUAUCCAUUUAGGUCUACAUGGCUUCAGUGAGUUACACGGUUGUGUAGAAUGAAGGAAAUGUGCAAGUGUACUCAAUCGCAAUAAGUAAAAAAGUGACAAGUAAAAUGUCGAGUUAUUGUGCCCACAGGGACUGUAUAAGAAAUUAUUUAUGAAUGCAAUUAAAAACACUUUGGUGAAGAAAAAUAUUUUGAUUUUGAGGAAGUGAUUAAAACUAAAAUUUAACUAAGUAAAAUAAAUAAAAUAAAAAUAAAAAUUCCAACGCACGAUUUCAAAAGAUAAUUUUAAUCAAGAUGAAUAAUUGUGUUAGAUUAAUUACAUUUCUUAACUUAGAAUUACUAAACUCAUAUUCAUGUUGUUACGAAUUAAUUCACGGCAACUUGGUAAUCCGCUAACUACUACUCAUAUGUACCUAUUAAAUUAACUAAUCUCUUGAACAGUUUCCAAUGCCAAUUCAAAAAAUUAAUCAAUCUUCAUAAACACGUAAAAGAUUAAGUGAUGUAACAAUGUAUUCCUACCUUGAAACAGUUUAAUCACAAUAAUCUUACAAGUUAAACAAGGCUAAUGUAUCGUCUAAUACCAUCGCUAAUUUAACCCUCAGUUACCUUAGAAGAUUAAACAUGCACUGAUUAAGUAUUGUGUCAAUUAAUUACAAUUUCAACACGUUUAAAUAAUUAAUUCAUUAGUUACCUUACAAUUAUAAUGCAAGAAUAACUUAAUCAUGAUCUUACUUAAUCAAACAACUUAGUAAGGGUUAUAACAACACAAACAUAAUUUUAAUAACUUAAGUGGACGAAAUGCAAUCAACCUGUGGAUGAAAUGCAACCAACCUAACACGAAUUAGGUCAUCUUGUUUAAAAUCAUCUUUUGAAAUCGUGCAUUAGAAUUUUUAUUUUUAUUUUAUUUAUUUUAAUUAGUUAAAUUUUAGUUUUAAUCACUUCCUCAAAAUCAAAAUAUUUUUCUUCACCAAAGUGUUUAUAAUUUCAUUCAUAAAUAAUUUCUUACACAGUCCCUGUGGGUACAAUAACUUGACAUUUACUUAUCACUUUAUUACUUGUUGUGAUUGUGUACACUUGCACAUUUCCAUCAUUCCAAGUUUUCGGCGCUGUUGCCGGAGACUGUUUUAAAAGUCAUUAUUUGUGAAUUUGUUAAUUUCACAUUUUGAUUUAUUUUUCUAUUCAAUUUUAACUUAAAUAUUUUUUCUGUGUUUGUUUUAGGUGUUUAUGAGUAUUGAUCGAAUCAUCGAUUUACUCAUCAUAGAACCUAAGAUUGAAAGAACUUUUCGACAACGAAAAAGACAAGCAAGUCAGAAAAAGACCGAAGAGAUGAACUACGAAAAUUUGAAUCAAGGAAACGGAGCAAAUCCUGCUCAAAAUCCUAUCCUUAUUGUUGAUGAUAGGUUAGAACUCUAAGACAGUAUGUCGUACCAGUAUUUCAUGAUCUUAAUCCAAGUAUAAGGAGACUCGAAAUCAAGGUACAACAAUUAGAACUGAAGCCAGUCAUAUUCUAGAUGCUUCAGACAUUGGGCCAAUUCAGUGGAAUUCCUACCGAAGAUCCUCACAUUCACUUAAGAUUUUUAUAGAGGUGACUGAUUCUUCCAAGUUAGCUGGAGUACUCGAAGAUGCACUACAAUUAAAGUUAUUUCAAUAUAGAGCUCGAGCCUAGUUGAACUCAUUGCCACAAAAUUCCAUUUCCGCAUGGCAAGAGUUAGUAGAAAGAUUCCUCAUGAAGUAUUUCUUGCCUAGCAAGAAUGCUAAAUUGAGGAACGAGAUCAUUGUUUUCCCACAAAUGGAUGACGAGCCCUUGUAUGAGGCAUGGGAAAGGUACAAAGAAUUAUUACGAAAAUGCCCCCAUCACGGAAUCCCUCAUUGUAUCCAACUUAAGAUGUUUUAUAAUGGUCUCAAUGCUCACAUGAGGAUGGUAGUUGACGCUUUUAAUAAUGGUGCUCUCAUUUCUAAGUCUUAUAAUGAGGCUUAUGAAAUCAUUGAGAGAAUUGCCAGCAAAAAUUAUCAAUUACUCACCAAUUUAGCAGCGUCAGGAAGACGAGUCAUUGGAGUACAUAAAGUGGAUGCUCUCGCUUCACUCGUAUCCUAGGUAUCUUCAAUUUUCUCAAUGCUUAAAUUUUUUACCAUUAAUGGGUUUAAUAGUUUUGCAGCUCAGCGACCCAAUCAAUUUGAAAAUACAACCUGUGUUUAUUAUGGGGAAGGACAUUUGUGCAAAGAAUGUCCAUCAAACCUAGAAUCUGUGUAUUUCAUGGGUAAUCAGAACCAGAAUCGAGGAAGGCAAUAACUGCAAUCCAAUUUUUAUAAUCCAUCUUGGUGAAACCACCCUAAUUUCUCUUGGAGUAACCAAGAGGCUGGACCUAAUAACACUUAUACCUAAACUAAACUGACCUAGCCACCUAUUUUUACCCAACAAGUUUAGAAUCAACCUCAAGCUAAAUCUUCUAAUGGCUUAGAAAACUUGUUAAAGGAACACAUAGCCCAAAAAUAAUGCCUUAAUCCAAAGCCAAGCAGCCACAUUGAAAAACCUAGAAAACCAAAUGGGCUAGCUUGCCAUUGAACCCAAAAACCAUCUACAAGGUGAUUUGCUUAGUGAUACGGAAAAUCCAAGAAAUCUGAGGAAAGAGCAUUGUAAAGUAUUGACAUUGAGGAGCAGAAAGACAUUAAAGCCCAACACUGUCGAGGUUGAAGAAGAGCCAACUGAUGCUCAAGACUCAGUCGAAGUUCGACUGAGUGUUGAAAUUUUAGUUUCACCGAAACCAGAAUCUGCAAAAUCCAAUAAGGUAACUUCUUUAGAUGCAGAAUUGCCACAGAAGACAAAUCAACCAGUUCCAGUAAAGAAGCCUCCACCACCCUACCUUCAAAGGCUUCAAAAGUAGAAACAGGAAGUCCAAUUCAAGAAUUUUCUAGACAUACUUAAACAACUUCAUAUCAACAUUCCAUAGGUAGAAGCACUUGAACAAAUGCAGAGUUACGUCUCUUGUCCAAGAAACGAAUACUAGGAGAAUUCGAGACGGUAGCCUUAACGAAGUGCAUAUAUUCAAGACAAACUACCACCGAAGUUGAAGGAUCCUGGAUGUUUUACCAUACCUUGCAACAUUGGAGCAACGUAUUGUGGUAAGGCACUAUGUGAUUUAGGUGCAAACAUUAACUUGAUGCCCAUGUCCAUAUUUAGAAAAUUGGGGAUAUGUGAAGUUAGACCUACCACGGUUACACUUCAAUUGCACAUCGAUCUUUAACACAUCCAGAAGGAAAAAUCGAGGAUGUAUUGGUAUGUGUAGAAAAAUUUAUUUUCCCUGCUAAAUUUGUUAUUUUAAACUUUGAAGUAUAUAAAAAGGUGCAAGUCAUCCUAGGAAGGCCUUUCCUAGCAACUAGAAGGACCCUUAUCGAUGGGUAGAAGGGUGAGCUUAUUAUGCGUGUUCAAGACGAUCAAGUAACAUUUAAUGUUUUAAAGUCUAUGCGAUUUACUGACACAGUUGAUGAUUAUUUUGCAGUGUUUGAUUUAGAGGAAUUAAUCAUGGAAAAGGAACUCAACUAUGUUGAGGACCCGUUAGAGCAAAUUUUGACAUCAGACCCUCCAAGUGAUGAAGAGGGAGAGGAAUACUUAGCUUUGUUAGAAGCUAAUCAAAGGGGAUUUAACCUGCAAUCCUGGUUUGAGUCUUUAGAGUUAAAGAAUAGGGAUUAUGCCCAACCAAAAGUGUCAAUUGAGGAGCCACCUAAAUUAGAACUUAACGUACUUCCUUCAUAUUUAAAAUAUAUUUAUUUAGGUAACGCUUGUAUUUUGCCUGUGAUUAUUUCAGCAGAAUUGAUCGAAGAGCAAGAAGAGAAACUCAUCCUAGUGUUGAAACAAUUCAAGAAGGCUAUCGGAUGGACCAUAGCCAAUAUCCUGGCAUUAGUCCGUCUGUAUGCAUGCACAAGAUCAUCUUAGAAGAUGGCGAGAAUGGGACAAUUGAUAGACAAUGAAGAAUGAACCCCAUCAUGAAAGAUGUAGUAAAAAAAGAAAUCAUUAAAUGGUUAGAUGCGGGUAUAAUUUACCCUAUCUUAAACAAUUUGUGGGCAAGUCCAGUCUAGUGCAUGCCAAAUAAAGGAGGUAUUACUGUCGUUGAGAAUGAGAAUAAUGAAUUAAUACCGAUUAGAACGGUUAUGGGAUGGAAAAUUUGUAUCGAUUGCCGAAAGCUGAACAAAACGACUAGGAAAGAUCACUUUCCUUUACCGUUCUUGGAUCAGAUACUGGAUAGACUCGCAGGGCAAGACAAUUACUAUUUUCUCGAUGGAUACUCGAGGUAUAAUCAAAUUACAGUAGCACUAGAAGAUCAAUACAAAACAACAUUCACAUGCCCGUAUGGUACAUUUGCAUUUAGACCCAUGUCAUUUGGUUUAUGUAAUGCACCUGCUACAUUUCAAAUAUGUAUGAUGUCUAUUUUCACUGACAUGGUUGAGAAGUACUUGGAAGUCUUUAUGGAUGAUUUUUCAGUAUUUGGAGAUACAUAUGAUGAUUUCCUAGCCAAUCUAUCAAAGGUACUAAAGCGAUACGAAGAAACAAACUCCGUACCUAACUAGGAAAAGUGUCAUUUCAUGGUAUGGGAAGGUAUUGUUCUAGGGCAUCAAAUAACGAGACAUGGAAAGGGUGUUAGGAGCUUUUUGGGCCACAUCGGUUUCUAUCAGAGAUUUAUCAAGGACUUCUCCAAAAUUGCUAAACCCUUAUGCAAAUUAUUGGAAAAGGACAUAAUGUUCAAAUUUGAUAAGGAAUGCUUAAGAGCUUUCAAUGAUUUGAAAAGUUGGUUAGUUUCAACACCCAUCAUUGUCACACCGGACUAGGAUUUGCCUUUUGAACUGAUGUGUGAUGCAAGUGACUUUGUAAUAGGAGCUAUCAUAGGCCAGUGAAGGAACAAAGUUUUUCAUCCCAUCUAUUAUGCAAGUCAGACUCUGACAGGAGCACAAUUGAAUCAUACGGUAAUAGAGAAAGAGUUACUUGCUAUUAUAUUUGCCUUUGACAAGUUUUGAUCUUAUCUUGUAGGUACAAAAGUGACUGUUUACACAGACCGUUUGACAAUUAAGUAUUUACUUGCCAAGAAAGACACCAAGUCGAGAUUGAUCCUAUGGGUACUUUUACUCAAAGAGUUUGAUCUAGAAAUUCAAGGUCAAAAAGGGGUAAAAAAUUAAGUAGCAGACCAGUUGUCCAGAUUGGAGCUACAAGAAGGGAAUUCUCCACCUAUACCCAUCCAGGAGACAUUCCCAAAUUUACACAUACUAAAGGUAAAUCAUGUCCAUAAUACCCUUUGGUUUGUUGAUAUUGCUAACUAUUUAGCUUGUGGUAAAAAAUUAUUUCACGAUGUAAAAUACUAUUUUUUGGGAAGAACCAUAUUUUUUAAAAAAGUGUGCAAAUCAAAUGAUCAGAAGAUGCUUGGCAGAAGAUGAAGUACAUAAGAUUCUAUAUCAUUGCCACAUGACUCCGAGUGGAGGACACUUAGAGGUACACGUACUGCAGCCAAAGUAUUGCAAACCAGAUUGUUUUGGCCAAUGCUAUUCAAAGACGCGUAUGCAUAUGUAAAGAGUUGUGAUCAAUUCCAAAGGGUUAGAAGUGUCACCAACAGAAAUAAAAUGCCCCGAACAAACAUCAUUGAGGUAUAAUUGUUUGAUGUUUGGGGUAUUGACUUCCUUGGUCCUUUCCCUUCGUCUUUUGGUCAAAAAUACAUAUUGGUAGCAAUAGACUACAUGUCUAAAUGGGUUGAAACAGAGGUAUAUCCAACAAAUGAUGCUAAGGUUGUGAUGAAGUUUUUGUAGAAGCAUGUGUUCAUAAGGUUUGGAACCCCGAGAGCUAUCAUCAAUGGUGAAGGGUCCUAUUUUGUAAACUGGUUACUCGACAAACGUGGAGUGAAGCACAAGGUUGCCACAGCUUACCAUCUGCAGACAAAUGGGCAAGCUAAACUGGCAAACAAAUAGAUAAAAGGCAUACUAGAGAAGAUAGUUUUCCCGAACCAAUGAGAUUGGUCCAAAAGACUGGAGACUGGAUGAUGCUUUUGGGGCCUACAGGACAGCAUACAAGACAUCUUUAGGGAUGUCACCCUAUAGGUUGGUUUUUGGGAAAGCCUAUCAGCUGCCCUUGGAGUUAGAACACAAAGCUUACAAGGCUCUCCAACAACUCAACUUGGAUCUUAAGCUUGCUAAAGAGAAACGAAUGCUUCAACUUAACAAGUUAGAAGAAUUUGGAAUAUUCUCAUACGAGAAUGCCAAACUAUUCAAGGAAAGACUUAAAAGAUGGCAUGACAAGCACAUUCGAGUUGGAGAAUUUGAAGUAGAUCAGUAAGUCUUGUUAUUCAAUUCUAGAUUAAGGUUCUUUCCAGUUAAGUUAAAAUCAUGUUGGUCUGAUCCAUUUACGAUUCACUAAGUUUUUCCAUAUGGAGUUGUCGAACUUCAAGGUAAGGGAGGUAAUUUUCGAGUCAACGCUCAGCGAUUAAAACAUUAUUGUGAGGAAAAAAUUGAACGGGAUACAAUCUUGUUCAUUUUAUUAGUAUUUAAUUUUUAUCAUUUUUCAUUUUAAAUAAAUGAUUUAGGGUAUACUUUCGGGAUUAGUAUGUUUAAAAGAAUUCUGUCUAGAAGAUUGGAACUUAAGCGGGACCGUUUAUGACCCCUUCAAUCUUUCCUAGAAAUUUAUUUUAACAUAAUCUUUCUAGAAAUUAUCCCCUAAAUGACAAAUAAAUUUUUAGUUUUUCAACUAAAAUGGUCAAUUUUGAUCCAAGUCUUAAUUGCAACUCAAUUUUCAAAUUUUCUUUAAGACUAGGUACUUAAUUGAACUAUUUUCAAAUUUUGGUUGCUCUUUUUAGAAAUAUUAAAAAUUAGAUGUCUCUUUUUAUAAAUAUUUUCAAAGGCAUCUAGAAUAAAUGUUUUUAAUGUAAUUUAAUAAAUAAGAUAAUAAUAACUAGUACUAAUUAUAUUUAUUGUAAUAUAUAUUAAUUAUUAUUAACUUUAUAUAGAAUUAGGAUUAGUUUAAAUUUGAUCAUAUUUUAAUUAAUAGUUUUUAUUUUAAUAAAUUAAUAGCAAAUUAUAAUUUAAUAUGCAUUAUAUUAAUUAUUAAUUGUUAUUAACUUUGUGUAGAAUUAGAACUUAGAAUAUUUUAAUUAUUAAAUUGUUCUAAGAAUUCUAAUUGAACUCCUACCCUCUUCACUAUAAAUUCCACCAACCUUCUCCAUCAUUCACCAUCCAUCAAACCAACCUCCAUUCACUUGUUCCAUCAUCGACCCUAGCAUCCAAAAAUCACCAAGUGCUGCAGCUCCUAACCACUAGCAGUAGCACUACUCAACAGCCCUAUUCGCCCAGUAGCUCAAAACACACGUUGCUACAGCCGCACAAACCAAGCCUACUCCCAGCUAUAGCUCACGUCCGCCAACGCACCAGCCCUGCUGCUCACCUGACAUUGCUGCAUGCUACCCACGCAUAUGCUCUCACCAAGGCUGUGCACUGUUGCCAUUUUUUCCUUGUGCCGUGUGCACCCUUACACAACUCAAACACCCUUGUCAAAUUUGCACAACACUUCCACCACAUUUAGUCGAUAACCCUUCAAACCAUCCCUCAAUUAAAUUCUUUUCUUCUAAUUCUAUUUAUUGAGUUCUUAAUUUCUAUAUAAAGGUGGUAAGACAAAAUUUUCUCCUAAAUUUCAAUUUUAUUUAAUUUUUUAAUUUAUUUAAUUAUUAAUAUUUUAUACUAACUAAAUUUUUGAGAAAAUAUUUGUUUUCAUCUUAUGUUUAGGUUAAUCAUGCCUUGCAAGAAAACUUGUGCCUCUAUCCAAAUUGACAAAUCCUAAAACUAAUUUCACUGUGAAGAAUCCAAAGCAAGAUACGAAAGCGUCUUCAAAAAUCAACAAAUGCACCCAGAAAAAGGCUUUAGACUGAAAGAAAGCAACUAUAUUGAUUUCAUGGCGCACAUUCGAAAAAUUGCUAAGGCUCUCAAUUGGGAGUUGUUUUGUGAGAAGAGACCGAGUGUAGACGAGGAGUCAGUUUUUAAAUUUUAUGCGAAUUUAACCUCAAACGAAUUAAUGGAAGUUUCUGUCCGAGUAAUCAAGGUACCAAUAACCUUAAAUGCUAUUAAUGGAUUCUUUGAAUUACUUAAUUUUUAAGACGACAAAUAUUAUUCCUUGAUGAGAAAUAUGGAGGCUAAAAAUCUGCAAUAAAUUCUUAAGGAACUUACAGUUCCAGGUUCUAAGUGGACUAUGUCAAAGCAAGGAAUUCACACUUGUCGCAGAGAAUAUUUGACACCACUAGCGAAUGUAUGGUUCUAUUUCAUUCGAUUAAGUUUUAUGCCUAUUUCACAUAGGACUACAAUUUCAUUAAACCAAAUGGUCUUGUUAUACUCAAUUUUAACUGCAAAGGCCAUUGAUGUGGGAAAAAUCAUUUUGAGAGAAAUGCGAAAUUGUGCCACUAGACGUUCUGACCCAACUUACUUUCACUUAACGAUAACAAUUUUUUGCUUGAAAGAUAAAAUUCUUGCAAACGUAAAGAAGGCAAGUUAUAGCCAGGACACAAUCACAGAUUGGGACCUCUACCGAAUAGCUGGAGACUCUAUUCUCUAGCAAUGAGUUGAAGAGAGCAAAUAUCCCUAGUAAGAAGAAAAAAAGAUCCUACAGAGAUCAAACCAAUGCAGUCAGCUGAUGUAACAACCUAUUUUUCAGUGAGAUCGUAAUAAUAAUUUCAGGACCACAAAUUCGAGCUGAAAAAUAAAAUUUAUUUUUAUUUUAAUAUGUGAUCCAAAUUAUGAUAGACAUGUCAUGUGAAAAUUUUGAUAAGAAAAUUUUAUCGAUUAUGUGUUUAAUUACGAGAAGGACCAAAUUGUAUAAAAUGUAAAAGUUGAAUUCUAGUAACUAUAAGGAUUAAAUAGCUAUGAAAUUCAAAACUUGAGGUCCUUAUAUGGUAAUUAGACCAUUAAAGAAAGUAUAUAGAUAUUUUGGUGACUCAUCCAUGUAAAUUUAGAAAAAGGGCAAGGACUAAAUUGGACAGUGAAAAUGUUUAAUUAAUUAAAAGUUGAUAAAAGAAAUAUUAUUUUAUUUUAUCAUCUUCUUCCCCAAAAAUACAUGAAAACCCUAGGAGAGAGAGAAAAAACUUUCAUGCCAAAUUGGGUAAGUUUCCUUGGCCCAUUUUUAGUAAUUUUGAUAUUUUUGAAACCGGGAUAGCUUAAUCUAUCUAUUUAAGGGAUCAAUUUGAGAAGUUAUCAAAGUAUGGAAAAUGGGUCAUGGAGUAUAUGCUGAAAAUUAGAAAUUUAUGGUAGAAAAUGAAAGGUCGUUGAUAGAUAAAUAACUUUUACAAAGUGAUUUUUGAUGAAAACAUGAUUUAGGGACUAAAAUGUAAAGUUGUGAAAUUGAAGAAAAAUAUUAAAUUUUUAUGAAUACAUGUGCUGUAAAUUUUGUAAUAGGAUUUUGGUUAGGCAUGGAAUAAGGAGUAAAUUGCACAAAUUUUAUUUUCCGAGCCUAGGGACAAAAUGGAAAUUUAUGGAAAAGUUAGGGGCAAAAUGGUAAUUUGCCUAGGAUAAAAAUUGAGUCCACUUGAAUAUAAAAUAUGAUAAAUUGAUGUUAAAUUUACUCGCAUAGAUCUAGAUAGACCAAAUGCGAAGCUAGAACGAGGAAAUGAGGAAAAUGUCGGAUUAGUAGAUUUAUGUACACGAACAUUUGUCGAGGUAAGUUCGUAUUACUAAAUUGUAUAUGUUUUUAUACUUGAAUUAAAUGUUGUGUUGUGAAUUUUAUAAAUGUCAUAAGUAUGUGAAAUGAUUACAUACUUGUUAAAGCCCGAUAAAUGAAAGUGCCCGAUCAAUUAUAAUGCCUGACAAAUUGUAAAUGAUAGAAAUGUUAAUUUUAUGCUUGAGUUGAAUGUGAACAUUUUAAUUGCAUAAAUGCAUAAAUAUAUGAGAUUGAUCACAUGCUAGAUGUUAAAUUCCGUAUGCAAAUGUUACUUAUAUGCUUGAAAUGAAUGUAGAAUGUGUUUAUUUGAAUUAUAUAAAUGUUAUGGAUGUAUGGAAUAAUCACAUGCUCGAUAAUGCUUGAGAAAAAUGUUUAAAUCCUGGUUGAAUAAAUGGAAAAUUUGAUGCAUAUGUGAUUUCUCAAAAUGAAUGAGGUCUUGCAGUUGUUGUGGACGGGAUUUAGCCAGGACAGAUAAUCUUAAUAUGAGUCAUCUCGAGCAUAUGUUAUGGAUUGGAUUUAGCCUGGACAGGUAAUCCAGAUCAAGCUCUUUAGAGCAUAUGUCAUAAAAAGGAUUUAGCCUGGACUUGUAAUCCUGUAAUAUACAAGUGUGGAUCAAGAGGCUACUCUCUGAUAUAGUACCCUAUGGGUACCAUUGGACAUGAAUUGACAGAUUCUAAUUCAUACACCUCGAGUGUACUACCUGCGUAUCCAUCGAUAUUUUAGAUAAAUUCAACGGGUAAAAGUUUUUGACAUGAGAAUAUAUGAAUAAGAAAUGAUUUAUUACACAUAUCGGCCUGAAAUACAUGAAAAUGACGAUACACGAUAAUUGAUAUAUGGAAAUAUGAAAUGAUGAUAUUGUACAUGGAAUUUAUUUGAUGAGUAUGUACAUCCUUGGUUCUAGACUCGUACACCUUGAGUGUACUAAUUGUGACCUUGAUAUUUCGAGUAAUAGGGGUAAAGUUCUGAUAUGAAAUUAUCUGAACUCAAGAUGAACUAUUAUGAAAUUGUACUUGUAAUAUAAAGAGAUGAUUUAUACAUGUUAAAUGAAUACAUGUUGUGGAAAGUAUAUUUGUAUCAAAACUUGAUUGUUGUUGAGCCUAUAUAUGUUUGUGAUGUUAUUAUGGAUUAUAUGACUAACAAGGGUAAUGAGGAUAUGUGUAAGGCUUGAGGGCAAAUUAAUUGAAUAAGCCUUACAUAGUUACCUCAAAAUAGAAUGAAUCGGAUGUUAUUAUGGAUUAUAUGCUUAUUUAGUUUUAUUUCCUUAUUUUAUAGUGAAUAGGAAGCUCAUUGGAUUGGAAGCUUGGUGGAGAUCACUCACACUAUCCAUUGGCCCAUGUUGGUACAAUAUGGUAAAUCAAUUAUCAUUGUAAUGGCAUGUAUAGGAUAUAUUGGCCAUAUUUUCAUGUAAAUGUAAAUAAUGUUUGCAAUCUAGCCAUUGGAAUGACUAGUAAGGGUUUGUUUUGAUAUAUUUGUAAUGUCAUACCAUGGUAACUACAUGUGUGUUAUGUAGUUGAUCUAUUAUGUCUAACAUAUGGGCUAGACUAAGGCAAGAUUAUGAUUAGGUAUGCAUGUAAUGGUAUGCCAUGUUGAAUGAUAGAGUUUGCUUAACUUGAAUGCUUGAAAUGGUUGGUUUUAGGAUGUGAGUUUAAGUGCAGGUCAUUGGUGUGAUUUUGGGUGAGAAAUGGAGCUAAAAAUGGCUUUAUUUUGUCCACACGGGCAGACACACAGGUUUGUGUCUAGACCGUGUGUGACACACAGCUUGGUACAUGGGCGUGUGGUCCGGCCGUGUGUCCCCUGUAACUUAAAAAAAUGAGAAACAGAAUGCUCAAAAUUGGGCACACAGGCAGAGACACGGGCGUGUGUCUCAGCCGUGUGGUUAACAUGGCCUUAAACACGGGUGUGUUACACUGCCGUGUGAAAACUGCACCUAAAAUUUGAAAAUAAAAUUCACCACACGGCCUAGCACACGAGCGUGUGACUUGGCCGUAUGACUUCAACUUAUUCAUGCUUUAAAAGUCAUAGAGUUAAAUGGGUUAGAGACACGGGCGUCUAUAGUACACGGUCCAACCACAAGGGCGUGUCCCUAGACCACACGGACAUGUGAGUCCUGCAACCUUGGAAAAUUUUUGCAGUGUCGCAAAAAAAUUUAUGAGUAUCCGAUUAAGUCUCAACUUGAUUCUAAUGCUCGUAUUGGGCCUCGAGGGUCCAAUUAAGGGAUGUUUUGAAUGAUCUCGGUAAUUGAUUAGCACUUUAUGUAAAUAAAUUGUAAAGUGUUCUGAAUAUUUCGGUAAUGCUCUAAAACCCUGUUUCGACAACGAAUACGAGUUAGGGGUGUUAUAGGUGAGAUCCCUGAUAAGGCAGAACCAAUAGAACCAGUAACCGAACCUGACAUGACAACCUCAAUGUCCAGAAAUCAAUUUGUAAUAGCACAUUUUUUAGUGAAAUCAGAACAGUGGUUUCGAGACCACAAAUUCGAUCUGAAAAUAAAGUUUAGUUUUAUUUUAUAAUAUGGUCCAUAUAUUGAUAGACAUGUCGUGUGAAUAUUUUGAUACGAAAAUUUUAUCGAUUAAGUUCUUAAUUACGAGAAGGACUAAAUCGCAUAAAAUACAAAAGUUGAAUUCUAGUUGCUAUAAGGAUUAAAUAGCUAUGGAAUUCAAAUCUAGAGGUCCUUAUGUGGUAAUUAGACAACUAAAGAAAAGUACAUAGAUUUUUGGUGACUCAUCCAUGAAAAAAUUAGAAAAGAGUAGAGACUAAAUUGGAAAUUAAAAUAAAUAAUUAAUUAAAAGAUGAUAAAAAGAAAAUAUCAUCUUAUUUUGUCAUUUUCAACCCUAAAAUUAUAUGGAAACCCUAUGAGAGAGAGAAGAAACUUUCAAGGAUUAAUUGGACAAGUUUCUUGUCCUGUUUUUAGUAAUUUUGACAUUUUUAAAACCGAGAUAGUUUAAUCUAUCUAUUUAGGGGAUUAAUUUGAAAAGUUAUCCAGGUAUGAAAUUUGGGUCAUGGAUGUAUAUGCUGAAAAUUAGAAAUUAUGGUAGAAAAUGAAAGGUUGUUGAUAGAUAAACAACUUUUUCAAAGUUAUUUUUGAUGAAAACAUGAUUUAGGGACUAAAAUGUAAACUUGUGAAAUUGAAGAAAAAUUCUAAAUUUUUAUGAAUACAUGUGCUGUAAAUUUUGUAAUGGGAUUUUGGUAAGGCUUGGAAUAGGGAUUAAAUUGCACAAGUUUCAUUUUUCGAGCCUAGGAACGAAAUUAGAAUUUAUGAAAAAGUUAGGGGCAAAAUGGUAAUUUUACCUAGGAUAAAAAUUGAGUCCAAAUAAAUAUGAAAUAUGUGAAAUUGAUGAUUAAAGCUAUUUAUAUAGAUUCGGACAACACAAAUUUGGGGUUAGACUGAGGAAAAGAAAAGGUUUCAGGUUAGUAGAUUUUAUACGCGAACAAGUGUUGAGGUAAGUUCGUGUAACUUAAUCGGGCAUGUAAAUAUGAUUAAUUGAAUGUUUUGUUGUAUGGAAUGUAACUUAUAUUGAUGUACAUUACUUGAAUGCUAUAAUGAGAAAUUUAAUACGUGCUUGAUAUGGUAAAAAAGGGUUAAGUCUCGAUUGAAUAUUGAAUUCAGAUGAAUAUAUGUGCUUUCCCGAAAUGAAUAAGGUCUUGCAUUUGUUGUGAACAGGAUUUAGCUCAGACGAGUAAUCCUAUUGACCUUUUUAUAUAAAGGAUUUAGCCCAGACGGGUAAUCCUGAUAUAAUACCUCUAGAGUGUACAUUACGAUUAGGGUUUAGCCUGGACUAGUAAUCCUAAUUGAGCUUUUCUAAGCAUAUGUUAUAUAAAGGAUUUAGCUUUGACUGGUACUCCUAUUAUACGAAAUGUGGCUCAAGAGUGUGUUCCUUGACUAAGUGCCCUAAUGGGUACCCUCAAAUAAGAAUUGAUGGAUUAUGGAACCGUACACCUCAAGUUUACUACUUGAGCAUUCAUCGAAAUUCCAAUGAUUCAACGGAUACAACUCUUGACAUGGUAUGAGAAUUUUGAGAUGAAAUGAGAAUGACUUGAGAAUUUUGACAUGGUAAGUUUACUUUUCGUUAUAUGAACUUACUAAGCAUGUAAUGCUUACUCCAUUUUACUUUUUCUUGUUUUAUAGUGCACGGAAGCUCGCGAAAGUUGGAAGAUCAUUGGAGCAUCAUCACACUAUCAUCUAGCUUAUUUUGGGUAUACUUAGUAAAAUCAUUUUGGUAUAAUGGCAUGUAUAGGACAACUUUUGACCAUUAGUGGCUUGAUAAUGAUGCUUGUAAUCUAGCCAUUGGAAUGGCUAGUAAUGGUUGUUUUGAUAUACUUGUAAUGUCAUGUUAUGGCAGCUAAAUAUAUAUUAACUAGUUGAUCAAAUUAUGUCUAAUAUAUGGAUUGAAACAAGGUAAGAUUGUGAGCAUGUAUGCAUGUAAUGGUAUGCCGUGAUGAAUGGUGGAUAUUGCUUAAUUUGAAUGCUUGAAACGAUUAGUAUUGGAUGUGUGUUUCAAGUGCAGGUCUUGGGUGAAAUUUUUGGUGAGAAAUGCAGCUAAAAAUUGCUUCAUUUUGUCCACACGGGCGUGUGUCUAGACCGUGUGUGACACACGGCCUGGUAACAUGGGCAUGUAGUUAGGCCGUGUGUCCCCUGCACCUUAAUUUUGAGAAACAGAAUGCUCAGAAUUGAUCAUACGGGCAGAGACAUGGGCGUGUGUCUCAGCUGUGUGUGCUACACGGCCCAGAACACGGGCGUAUGUCUUGGCCGUGUGAAACCUCCACUUAAUUUCGAAUUGAAUUAAUUAAGCACACGGCCUAGUACAUGGGUGUGUGGCAUGGCCGUGUACACAAGUCAAAGAGUUACUCGGGGUCGAACACGGCUUGUAGCACGGACGUGUCCCUUGGACCACACGGGCAUGUGAGCCCUAUACCUUGGAAAAUUUUUGAAAUGUCGCGAAAAUUUCUUAGAGGUUCCGAUUAAGUCCCGACCCGACUCUAAUGCUCGUAUUGGGCCUCAAGGUUCCAAUUGAGGAACGUUUUGAAUGAUUUCUGUUAAUGAAUAGUAAUUUGCAGAAAUUAUUUAUAAAAUAUUUUGAAAGUUUCAGUUUAGCUACGGUGAAUACGGGUUAGGGGUCAGAGCUACGGUUUAGCCGAAUCUUGGAUUUGACGUAGCAAACACGAGUUUAGCUAUACAUGCCAUUAUAUAAAUUGUGAUAGUGUGAUGACUUCUGAUCAUUUUAAAUGUGUUUUUCAUGUAGUAAUGUCAUACAACCGAGCUAGAGCUGAAUCCAAGGAAGUUAAGAGCAAUGCUUUAGCUUCAGUUCAAAGAGUUGUGUCAGCGUCUGGUAGUGAAAGGCCCGUGUCUAAGGGCCGAAGUGAGGAGACAAAACAAGCUUUCUUUCAAAAGAUGAAUGAACGGUUUACCCAGUAUCUGAAAACAAACCCUGUUGUACAAUGACCUUCCCCACUUGCUCCUCAACUGGUUCCUGAGGUACCACAGGGUGCUGAACCUGUUAGAAUUGGUAAGCCUCCGAUAGAUAAAAUCCACGAACAUGGGACGGAGGAAUUUAAAGCUACCGCAGAUGAUGAUCCAAAAAGGGCUGAGUUUUGGCUAGAAAAUACUAUCUGGGUUUUUGAUGAAUUAUCCGAUACACCAGCCGAAUGUUUGAAAUGUGUAGUAUCUCAACUGAAGGAUAUAACUUAUCAUUGGUGGAAUACCAUAACUUCGGUUGUACCGAGAGAGAACAUUACAAGGGAAUUCUUUUAGGCUAAAUUCAGAAAGAAAUAUGUUAGUCAGAGACUCAUGGAUUAGAAAAAGAAAGAAUUUCUAGAGCACAAACAAGUGAAUAUGAUCGUGUCUGUAUAUGAACGAUAAUUUGUUCGACUGAGCAAAUAUGCCAGAGAAUGGGUUCUAACCAAGGCUGAAACGUGUAAAUGCUUUGAAGAGAGUUUAAAUGAAGAUAUUGAUUGGAAUUCUCGAAAUAAGGGAAUUUGCGGUGUUAGCUAAUCGAGCACACAAAGCUGAGGAAUUAAGUAAAUAGAAGAAACAAGCUGAAAGAGAGGCUUGGGUUUCUGGAAAAAAGAACUAUGGGCAAGUCACAAUUAUUUGCUUCUAAGAAAUUAAAGAGGUAUCAUGAUUGUGUUACCACCUCUACGGGAUAUUCUGGAAUAGAGCAGGGCUCAACGUUCUAACCCGAGGUCUUCAUCUCCAUCUGUGACCAGUGUGGGUAGUGUCGACAAUCCCAAAUUGAAAUGUAAACAUUGUAACAAAUUUCAUCAUGGGGAAUGUUUGUCUAGAAGUGGAGCUCGUUUUGGAUGUGGUGCACUUGACCAUUUUCUCACAUAUUGUAACACCCCUAACCUGUAUCCGUCGCCGGAACAGGGUUACGAGGCAUUACCGAAUAAUGCACAUAAUUCAUAUACAUUUAUGCAUUCAUAAUCAAUAUCCAUUCAAAUCAUCCACAUUGUCCCUUAUAAGGUCCUACGAUACCUUAAAAUAUGCUUAAAAGUGGUUCAAGACUAAACCGAUAACAUUUGCAAACUUUAAGGAACUUAUAAAAUUUUCAAUCAUUUAAGGGUCACACGCCCUUAUGAAUAGGCCGUGUGCCUCACACAGCCACUAGAUACGCCAAUGUCACAGGCCGUGUAAAAACAGGGCAUACAUUCUGACUUGCACCACACGGUUGAGUACAUGCCCAUGUGCCAAGCUGUAUGAAAACUGGAGGGGUUACUAACCUGGGUCACACGGCCAGCCACACGCCCAUGUGCCAGCCCGUGUGUCUAGACCGUAUCAAACCUAUAGGGUAUACUGACUUAAAUUCAAAGGGUACCCUAGGGGACACGCGACCGUGUAGCAUGACCGUGUGUCGCACACGAUUGAGACACACGCUCGUGUGGACAAAAAUAGGCUAUUUGCAAAGCCAAUUUGCCACCCUUUUCUCAAGCACACCAAGCAAUCACUAUGGUACCAUUUCAAUACAUUUAUAGGCAGCCAAAACAUACCAAUUCAUACACAUUUCAUACCAUUUAUAAACCAUUCUCUUAACUAUUCAAAUCCAUAACCAAAACAUUCCAAAUCAAUCUGCCAAAAUCAUCAAACUUACAUAAUUUCUAAAUGCAUUUCCUCAUCAUCUUAUCAUCUAUUUCAUGCUUCAAAUCAUACCAUUUCAUCAUCUCAAAACCAAGCCACAACAUAUUAUCAUUCAACCAUUAACUCACUAAUUGGAAACUAGUUACUUGAUCAACCAUAUAACCAUACCAAACAAACCAAAACAUAUGACGACUUAUACAUCAUGAAUUACUUACCAAACACCUAAUUCAAGCCAACUUAAAUGGCCAUACACACCAAUAUUUACACCAUUUCAUAAGCCAAUACAAAUGGCUAAUAUCUUAACUCAAAACUUAUCAUCAAACUACUAGCCUAUACAUGUCAUAUACCAUAAUUACAAAGCUUCAAAAGUACCAACAAGAUGAUCGAUAGUGUGAUGACGUUUCCAAAAAUCCCCAAGCUUGAGCUAGCUUCGAUAAUUUAUAAAAUAGGGAAAGAACACACAAAGUAAGCUUUAAAAGCUUAGUAAGUCAUAUACAACUAAAGUCAUCAUAUGAAUAUUUGCAUAUCAAUUCAAAUAUGCUAAGCAUAGCUAGACACAUACAAGCUCACACACCUUUUCAUUGUACAUAUAUUCAAUAUCAUAAUUGAAUUCAUCAAAUACUUCCCUUUUCAAUACUCGUAUGAAUCUCGUACGUACCUGAGUCACUUAACUCAUUCACACAUUCUUUCUCAACUUGACUUUUCCUGUUGAACCGUUCGGAAUCGUUAAGGAUACUCGACAAUCACAUAUAACUCGUACAAUGCCAUAUCCCAAAGAUGGUCUUACAUGUUAUCACAUAUCGAUGCCACUAUCCCAGACAGGGUCUUACACGAAAUCAAUUAACGAUGCCAAUGUUCCAGACAUGGUCUUACAAGUAAUCACAUAUCGGUAACCUAAUGUCGUGACAUUUGUAUCCUCUACUAUUAUUAAGGUUCGUACAAGACUUUCGGAUAUCAUAACUUCAUCGAUUCUUGCUCGUAUUUACUCGUUCAACAUUCAUAGUAGUUCAAGGACAAAUAAACAUAUAUAAUUCAAUUUUAAAGAUAUUUAUUUGCAUAUGAACUUACCUCGUAGUCGGAAUAGAGAGAUUGAAUCGACUAUUCGAUAACCUUAGAUUUUUCUCGAUCUAAAUUCGAUUUCUUUCUUUCUUGAUCUAUAUACAUUCAAAAUUAACUCAUUUAUUCAUAAAUUCAUUCAAUUUCAUCCAAAACACACAAUUUGGGCAUUUUUAUACUUUAGCCCCUAAAGUUCCACAUUUACUCAAUUUAGUCCCUAUUUCAUAAAUACACAAAAUUCAUGAAAUUCAAUUUAACCCACGCUUGACCGAUUUUCAUAGAGACCUAUAGCAGCCCAAAACUUUCAUUUAUUCACACUUUUAAUCCCAUAUUUUUAUUUUUUCACAAUUUAAUCCCUAAUAUGCAUUUUUACUAAAAAUCACUCUACAAAACAUAGAUAUCCAUAACUACACUUUCAUAAUUCAUCAUCAAACAUUCAAAAACACAUGAAUUUAUCAUUGGCAACUUUCAAAAUAUUAAGCAGUUUUGCAAAUUAGUCCUUGGGCUAGCUAGCACUCAAAGCAACGAUCACAAAAACAUAAAAAUCAUCAAAAACCGAACUCAAAUCAUACCUUAAUCACAAACACAAAGUGCCGAACUCUAAAACAUGAAAAUUGCUUCUUCUUUCUUCUAUUUUUGGUGCAAAAAGAUGACAAAAUGGCCACCAUUAUGUUUGUUUUAAUUAAUAAUAACAUGAUUUAUCAAUUACCAAUAUUAACCUAUAAUAAUAGCCUUUAAAACAAUUAAUAUAAGGCCAUUUAUGAAAAAUUCCACUAUCAAUGGUCUAAUAUCAACAUAAGGACCUUUCAAUUAAUAAACCAUAGCAAAUAAACACUUUUAACUUAUAGAAUGCCACUUUUACAUUUUACGCGAUUUAGUCAUUUUUAUCAAAUUGAGCUAUUAAACGAUAAAAAAUUAAUUCACGAAAUUUUCAUAUAUAUAUAAUCGCAUGCUAUAAUCACCAAAAAUAAUAUUAAAAUAAAUUUUUGACCUCAGAUUUAUGGUCUUGAAACCACUGUUCUGAUUUAACUAAAACCGGGCUGUUACAGAGAUUGUCCAGAAAGGGUUGAAAAAGAGAUAAAACUAGCUCCAAAGCCUAGUAAUCCUGUUUCGAGAGGUAGACCACCCGAUCACUCCGGCAAUGUUAGUGGUAGUCGAGGCACUAACAAGGAUACAACAAUUAGAUCUGAAGCACAAGCACCUUCAAGAACAUAUGCUAUUCGUGCUAGAGAGGAUGCCUCUGUACCAGACGUCAUUACUGGUACAUUUUCUCUACUUGAUACUGAUAUUACUACUUUGAUUGAUCAUGGUUCCACAUAUUCAUACGUAUGCACGAACUUGUGACUGUUAAAAAAAUUACCUGAUGAAUUCAUUGAAUUUGUGGUUAAAGUUUCAAACCCCCUGGGCCAGUGUGUUAUGGUGGAUAAAGUUUGUAAAAACUGUCUGUUGAUGGUAAAAGGUUAUUGCUUUUCGGCUGACUUGAUGUUAUUACCAUUUGAUGAAUUUGAUGUGAUUUUGGGAAUGGAUUGGUUAACCCAAUAUGAUGCAGUGGUGAAUUGUAAGCAGAAAUAUAUUGUAUUGAAAUGUGAGAGUCGUGAAUUACUUCAUGUUGAAUCUGAUAAACUGGAUGGAUUACCUAAUGUAAUUUCAGCAAUAUCAGUAUAGAAAUAUGUCAAAAAGGGUUAUGAUGUUUAUCUUGUACAUGUGUUGGACACUAAAGUAUCUGAGUCAAAGAUUCAGUCAGUGCCGGUUGUAUGUGAAUUUCCUAAUGUAUUCCCAAAAGAAUUACCUGAUUACCACUGAAUAGAGAAGUGGAAUUCUCUAUAGAUCAUGUUUCAGGUACAACACCUAUAUCCAUUGCACCUUACAGGAUGACUCUUACUGAAUUGAAAGAGAUGAAAGUACAGUUGCAAGAGUUGAUUGACAGAGGUUUUGCUCGACCUAGUUUCUCACCUUGGGGUGCGUCAGUUCUGUUCGUAAAGAAGAAAGCUAGAUCGUUGAGGUUGUGCAUUGAUUAUAGAUAGCUCAACAAAGUUGCAAUAAAGAACAAGUAUCCUUUGCCUCGCAUUGAUGACCUAUUUGACCAGUUAAAAUGUGCCACUGUAUUUUCAAAGAUUGAUCUCCAUUCUAGUUACUAUCAACUACGUGUAAAAGAUUCAGAUGUGCCAAAGACAACUUUCCAAACCCGAUAUGGACACUAUGAGUUUCUUGUGAUGCCAUUCGGUUUGACAAAUGCACCUGUAGUGUUUAUGGAUCUGAUGAACAAAAUAUUCAGCCCAUAAUUGGAUAAGUUGUGGUGGUAUUUAAAGAUGAUAUUUUGGUUUACUCCUGAGAUGAAAAUGAACAUGUUGAGCAUUUAGGAAUAGUGUUGUAAACCUUGCGAGAGAAACAAUUGUAUGCCAAAUUUAGUAAAUGUGAAUUUUGGCUACGGGAAGUUAGUUUUCUUGGGUAUAUUGUAUCUACUAAAGGUGUCAGGCUAGAUCCGAAUAAAAUUUUAGCCAUUGUUAACUGGAAGCCACCAAAGAAUGUGUUUGAAGUUUGAAGUUUUAUUGGACUAGUUGGUUAUUAUCAGAGGUAUGUAAAAAAAUUUUCAAUGAUAAAUUCUCCGAUGACUCAUUUACUAAAGAAAUAUGUAAAGUUUGAGUGGACUGACAAAUGCCACAGAGUUUUGACUGAUUAAAAGCUUUGUUGACAGAAGCUCCAGUGUUAGUUCAACCAGAAUCGAGUAAGGAAUUUAUAAUUUACAGUAAUGCAUCAUUGAAUGGUUUAGGUUGUGUUUUGAUGCAAGAAGGUAAAGUGGUAACUUAUGCUUUACGAUAGCUAAAGCACAUGAAAAGAACUACCAGACACAUGAUCUUGAAUUUGCAUUGAAAAUCUGGCGGCAUUACCUGUUUGGUGAAAAAUGUCACAUAUUCACUGAUCAGAAAAGUAUGAAAUAUCUGAUGUUAUAGAAAGAUUUAAAUUUUAGAUAGCGUAAAUGGCUUGAAUGAUGGAAAGAUUAUGACCUCGUCAUUGACUAUCAUCCGGGAAAAGCCAAUGUAGUGGCAGAUGCUCUGAGCAAAAAAUAUCUAUAUACUUUGCGAGCAAUGAAUACUCGAUUGUCAUUAUCUGAUGAUAGUUCAAUCAUAGCUGAGUUAAAAGCUAGACCAACGUUUUUGCAACAGAUCUCUAAAGCUCAGAAAAAUGAUAGUAAGUUGCAAGCAAAUUGGAUACAAAGUGAGUUGACUCCUGAUUCAGAAUUUCAAAUCGGGUCUGAUGGUUGUUUGUUAUUCAGAGGCAGAGUAUGUGUACCAAAAAGUUCAAAACUAGUACAGAAGAUUUUGAAUAAAGCUCAUAACGGUAACAUGUCUAUAAAUCUUAGUAGUAAUAAAAUGUAUAAUGAUCUGAAAAAGAUGUACUGGUGGUCGGGAAUGAAACGAGAUAUUUCUGAGUUUGUAUCUAAUGUUUGAUAUGUCAGAAAGUAAAAGCUGAACAUUAGUUGCCUUCUGGACUACUACAACCAGUUACGAUACCGGAAUGGAAAUGGAAAAGAAUUACUAUGGACUUUGUAUCAGGGUUACCAUGUCUCCAAAGAAGAAAGAUGUCAUUUGGGUAAUUGUUGAUCGAUUAACAAAGUCUGCACACUUUAUUCCAGUACGUAUGGAUUAUCCUUUGGACAGAUUGGUUGAAUUAUAUGUUUCUGAGAUUGUCAGAUUGCAUGAAGUGUCUGUCUCCACUAUUUCAGAUAGAGACCCUCGGUUUACAUCUUGAUUCUGGAACAAAUUGCAAGAAGCCCUAGGUAUUCAGUUACAAUUUAGUACUGUAUUUCACCCCCAGACAGAUGGUCAAUCUGAGCGGGUAAUGUAGAUCUUGGAAGAUAUGCUUUGAUGUUGUAUACUUGAGUUUGAAGGUAACUAGGAAAGGUAUUUGCCUUUGGUUGAAUUUGCUUAUAAUAACAGUUAUCAGUCUAGUAUUAAAAUGGCAUCGUAUGAAACCUUGUGUAGUCACAAAUGUAGAACUCCAUUGUAUUAGACAAAAAUCAGUGAGAAAAAGUUACACGGAGUUGACUUAGUCUGAGAGAUUGAGGAAAAAGUGAAAGUAAUUCGAGACAGUUUAAAAGCAACAUUUGAUAGUUAAAAGUCCUAUGCUGAUCUUAAACGAAAGGAAAUAGAAUUUCAAGUCGGUGACAAGGUAUUCUUGAAAGUAUCACCUUGGAAGAAAGUUCUCCAAUUUGGUCGUAAAGGAAAACUGAGUCCACGGUUCAUUGGACCAUAUGAGAUUACAGAAAGAAUCGGAACUAUUGCAUAUCGGUUAGCUUUACCACCAGAACUUGAUCGGAUUCAUAAUGUUUUUCAUGUGUCAAUGCUACAGCGGUACCAAUCAGAUCCUUCACAUGUUAUUUCUCUGAUAGAGAUAGAGAUUCAACCUGAUAUGACAUAUAGUGAAGAACCAAUCAAAAUCUUAGCUUGGGAAACAAAAGAGUUAAGAAAUAAGAAGGUAAUUUUAGUAAAAGUUCUUUGGCAACGACACGAUAUUGAAGAGGCUACCUAAGAAUUGGAGGAUACUAUGAGGAAGUAAUACCCGAAUCUUUUUACUGGUAAGAUUUUCAAGGACAAAAAUCCUUAAAGGGGGGAGAGUUGUAACAGCCUAUUUUUAAGUAAAAUCGAAACAGUGGUUUUAGGACAACAAAUCUGAUCCGAAAAUAAAGUUUAUUUUUAUUUUAUAAUAUAGUCCGUAUAUUGGUAGACAUGUUGUGUAAAAAUUUUGAUACGAAAAUUUUAUCGAUUAAGUGCUCAAUUCCGAUAAGGACUAAAUCGCAUAAAAUACGAAAGUUGAAUUCUAGUAGCUAUAAGGAUUAAAUAGCUAUGGAAUUCAAAUCUAGAGGUCCUUAUGUGAUAAUUAGACCAUUAAAGAAAAGUAUGUAGAUUUUUGGUGACUCAUCCAUGGAAAGAUUAUAAAAUAGUAGGGACGAAAUUGAAAAUUAAAAGAUGAUAAAAGGAAAAUAUCAUCUUAUUUUGUCAUCUUCAACCCCAACAUUAUAUGCAAACCCUAAGAGAGAGAGAAGAAACUUUCAAGGCUUAAUUAGGUAAGUUUCCUUGUCUCAUUUUUAGUAAUUUUGAUAUUUUUGAAACAGGGAUAGUCUAAUCUAUCUAUUUGGGGGAUUAAUUUGAAAAGUUAUCAAGGUAUGAAAUUUGGGUCAUAGAUGUAUAUGCUGAAAAUUAGAAAUUUAUGGUAGAAAAUGAAAGGUUUUUGAUAGAUAAACAACUUUUACAAAGUGAUUUUUGAUGAAAAUAUGAUUUAGGGACUAAAAUGUAAACUUGUGAAAUUGAAGGAAAAUUAUGAAUUUUUAUGAAUACAUGUGCUGUAAAUUUUGUAAUGGGAUUUUGGUUAGGCUUGGAAUAGGGAUUAAAUUGCACAAGUUUCAUUUUCCGAGCCUAGGGACGAAAUUAAAAUUUAUGGAAAAGUUAGGGGCAAAAUGGUAAUUUUGCCUAGGUUGUAAAUUGAGUCCAAAUAAAUAUGAAAUAUGUGAAAUUGAUGAUUAAAGCUAUUUAUAUAGAUUUGGAAAACACAAAUUCGAGGUUAGACCGAGGAAAAGAAAAGGUUUCAGAUUAGUAGAUUUUAUACGCGAACAAAUGUCGAGGUAAGUUCAUGUAACUUAAUCUGUCAUGUAAAUAUGAUUAAUUGAAUGUUAUGUUGUAUGGAAUGUGACUUGUAUUGAUGAUGUACAUUACUUGAAUGCUAUAAUGAGAAAUUUAAUACGUGUUUGAUAUGGUGAAAAAGGGUUAAGUCCCGAUUGAAUAUUGAAUUCCGAUGAAUAUAUGCGCUUUCCCGAAACGAAUAAGGUCCUACAUUUGUUGCAGAUGGGAUUUAGCUCAGACGAGUAAUCCUAUUGACCUUUUUAUAAAAAGGAUUUAGCUUUGACGGGUAAUCCUGAUAUAAUACCUUUCGUGUAUACGUUGGGUUUAUCCUGGACUGGUAAUCCUAAUUGAACUCUUCUGAGCAUACGUUAUAUAAAGAUUUAGCCUGGACUGGUAAUCCUGUUAUACAAUAUGUGGCUCGAGAGUGUGAUCCUUAAUUAAGCGCCUUAAUGGGUACCCUCAAAUAAGAAUUGACAGAUUAUGGAACCGUACACCUCGAGUGUACUACUUGAGCAUUCAUCGGAAUUCCAAUGAUUCAAUGGACACAACUCUUGACAUUGUAUGAGAAUUUUGAGUUGAAAUGAUAAUGACUUGAAAGAAUAUUGCAUGAUGAGCUUAUCUAUGUUUACUUGAUUACUAUGACGAUUUUGGUGACUAACAUGUUUGAUUGAAUGCAUGUGUUUAGGCAAUAUUGUUAAUGGAUGGAAAACAUGAUAUUGUAUACUUAGAUUUAAAUAACGGCAUUGGUAAGUUUAGUUUCCAUUAUACGAACUUACUAAGGAUGUAAUGCUUACUCCGUUUUAUUUUUCCCUAUUUUAUAGUGCUCAGAAGCUCGCGAAGGUUGGAAGAUCAUUGGAGCAUCGUCACACUAUCAUUUAGCUUAUUUUGGGUAUACUUAGUAAAAUCAUUUUGGUAUAAUGGCCUGUAUAGGACAACUUUUAACCAUUAGUGGCUUGAUAAUGAUGCUUGUAAUCUAGCCAUUGGAAUGGCUAGUAAUGGUUGUUUUGAUAUACUUGUAAUGUCAUGUUAUGGUAGCUAAAUAUAUGUUAAGUAGUUGAUCAAAUUAUGUCUAAUAUAUGGAUUGAACCAAGGUAAGAUUGUGAGCAUGUAUACAUGUAAGGGUAUGCCAUGAUGAAUGAUGGAAAUUGCUUAAUUUGAAUGCUUGAAAUGGUUGGUAUUGGAUGUGUGUUUCAAGUGCAGGUCUUGGGUGAAAUUUUGGGUGAGAAAUGAAGCUAGAAAUGGUAUCAUUUUGUCCACAUGGGCAGACACACGGGCGUGUGUCUAAACUGUGUGUGACACAUGGCCUGGUAACAUCGGCAUGUAGUCAGGUCGUGUGUCCCCUGCACCUUAAUUUUGAGAAACAGAAUGCUCAGAAUUGAGCACACGGGUAGAGACGCAGGCAUGUGUCUCAGCCGUGUGUGCUACACGGCCUAGAACAUGGGCGUGUGUCUUGGCAGUGUGAAACUUGCACCUAAUUUCAAAUUGAAUUAAUUAACCACACGGCCUAGCACAUGGGCAUGUGGCAUGGCCAUGUGCACAAGUCAAAGAGUUACACGAGGUCAAACACGGCUUGUAGCACGGGCGUGUCCCUUGGACCACACGGGCGUGUGAGCCCUGCACCUUGAAAAAUUUUUUAAAUGUUGUGAAAAUUUCUUAGAGGUUCCUAUUGAGCCCCAACCCAACUCUAAUGCUCGUAUUGAGCCUCGAGGGUCCAAUUGAGGGACAUUUUGAAUGAUUUCAGUAAAUGAAUAGUAAUUUAUAAAAAUUAUUUGUAAAAUGUUCUGAAAGUUUUGGUAAUGCUCCGAGACCCUAUUCCAAUGGCGGAUAUGGGUUAGGAUUGUUACACAAUCGUCUCACCCAGAUCUUCGAGAUGAGCUAUCAAAGUUGAUGGACAUGAUGCAACACAUGUAGUGGCAGAAAUGAGCUUACUGGAGAUAUUCAAAAAUAUUCAAAAAUAUUCAACGAACCAUUUUUUUGUGCCUGAGUUUCCCAAUUUUAUAUUUGAACCAUAGAGUCCACCAUCGAAGAGGGAACGAAGCGAUUCAUGCAAAAACAAAGAUGAUGAUGCAAAAGAUGAGUUGGAUUCUGAAGGAUCUGCAAAUAAAAAAAAUGCAGAGAUCUUGACUCUAUUUUAUUUUCGUUCUUAGGUUAUUUAAUGUUUUAAGAUUAUGUUCUAUUAGGAUUUUUAAUUUUUUGCAUAAUAAAACAAGAUAUGGAAAUCAUGAAUAAAAAAGAACAAGUUUUUAUAAUAAGAAGUGUGGCAAUAGAUAUAUACAUGUCUAGGAUUGGAUCUAGAAAAAGUUGGGUACUUAAGCAGUCAAAUUGACUCACCUCCCCUUUUCUAGAAUCCUACCUGGUGUCUAGUAUCUAUUCACUUCUAAAAAUGAGGACAUUGUUCAUAUUAAGUAGAGGGGACAGAAAAAUUGAAAUUAUUUCCUCUCAGAAUAAAAUUUUCUUUUAAUUAUGAUUAGGUUAUAUUUUGUUCAAAAAAUUUGAAAUUUUGUUAAGUAUGCUAAACUUCAAUAUGAAUAAAGUUCUAUUAUUUCAAUAAUGGUAAUGUUAGUCGAAUUAUGACAUAAAUGUACUCUUAAUAAAAUAUGUAAAUCAUACCAUAAAACUUUUAGUUCCUUAGGAAAGCUAGACAUGCAUGAAAGUUUAAGUCUUUAGAAUUGACUUAGUAAUUUCUUGAGGUGAAAUCCUAGGAAUCAUGGAAUGUUGAAAAUGAUUUAGGCAAACUUUUGUUUGGACUGUUUGAGUCUUUCAAGCCAACCUUAAUAAAUUUUAUCCCUUGAAACCCAACUUUGAGACUAUAUGGCCUACUUAUAUUUGAACCUAUACAAUAUUUAGCGAUCACUUCUCUCUUAAUUAAUUUUUUCCAAACAUUAGACUCAGUACUAUUCAGAAUAUUCUUUGAAAAUAAGUUUGGGGGAGUUGAAAAGAAGUAUCAAAUGCUCAAAAAAAAAUUGUAGUACAUACAGCAAAAUGCUUGUGAAAAAAAAAAGAAAAAAAAAGAGAAGUGCUUAUGUACUCGAAAGAAAUAAAUUUACAAAAGAGCAUGUGAAAGCAAAAUAAGUUGGUGUAUUGAAGGUAAAUAGUUCGAAGUUCCGAUUGAAGCUGAGCUUAGGGUUUUUAGCCUAAAUUUAGCUAUCUUUCACCUACCCUUAGCCUAGCCAUGUUACAACCUAUUUAAAAUACCUAUUGAUUCAAGUUUUUUUGCUACCUACAUUAGUGGAAAGAAAUUGCUACGUCCAACAUAUGAAGGCAUAAUUUAAACUUAAUGAUUUCAACAUAUGAAGGCAUAAGUUAAACUUAAUGAUUGUAGCUUAAUCUUAAAUAAGGGAAUAAAAUCAAAUUGGUAGGGAUUUAACAUGUCUUUAUUGAGUAAGCAUUUAGUUUAUUUUUGCCAUCAUAAUAAUAAUUGAGAUUAAUUUGAAUGAUAUGUAUGCUUAAGUAGCAUAAAUAUCAAAUUUCAUGUUCUUGAGCAUAAGUAUACUAAUUCAUAAUUUUGGGAAGAAUGUUUUUCUAAAGGAAUUAUUUUUCAAAGUUUUUUUUGAGAAAUUCUUUUCAAUUUAUGCAUUGCUCGGACAAGCAAUGAAUUAAGUUUGGGAGUGUGGAAGCACGGAAAUAUACACACUUUUUAACUCAUAUUCAUGUAAUUUCAUAGUAAUUCUUGUCGAAAAAUAUAUAAUAAUUAUAAAAUAAUUAAAUUGUACUUAAAUUAUUAACAUGUUGAAUUUUAAUUAAUUUUAUAAUAAAUUUUGAUUUAUUUUCAACAAAUUCGCACAAAGGGCGAAAAUUGGCUCGAUAGACACUACUGGAAGCACAAACCAAGAAGCAAUUUUGAAUCAUCAAGGCGAAUUAAUUUUUCAGCCUAAGACAGUCCAAAUUAUUAAUAUUAAUUCAUAAUAUAAUUAAUUUUAAUUUUAUUCCAAUUUAUUUUGGGUUAAAUAAUUAUUAUUAAUUAAAUUAUGAAAAGAGAUCCAAUAGUGCUGAACCGAGAAAACCAAUCCAAUCGAGCAAUGGACUGCCCAAAACCGUCCCACAUGCUAACCCAAUCUGCUUGUUUAGCUGAUUAUUUGGCUUACAAAAUAGCCCUUGAAGUCUCCUUGAAUUUGCAUUCAAACCCUUCCAUUUAUUAAGCCUUUCUAGAUUUGCCCUUACCUAAAAAUUGCAAGUUUGAAACCUUCAAACUUGCCAUAUGUGUGGCCGGCCAGGGGGAGUCUAUGGCUGCUAAUUUUUUCUAUUUUUAUCAGCCUUCUCAACCUAUAAAUACCCCCUUGGCUGCUCAAUUGAAACACAUCUCUCAUCCUCUCAUUCUUCACUUCUCUCUCACUUUUCUCUUUUCAAAACCCUUUAUUUGUUCUUCUUUUUCCCUUCCAUUCCCUUGUCGAUUUCCCCUCUUGGAAAAGAUGCCUUCAACCACCUUUUGAUGCAGCAUUCAAGUGCUUGUAGAAGCCUCAGUUCAACAAGAACAAGCGGAGAAGGAGGAGCGGAGCAAACUAGUCAAGCUUCGGAGAAACAUCGGAUUUGAUUCUAGUUCCCUAUCCUUUAAUUUUUAUUGUUGUUGUUAUGAACAUGCCUAUGAAUACUUGUGAUGUUGAUAUGUUUAAUUUAAUUAAUAUUGCUUAAAUUUAAUUCAUGUUAGGUUGAUUACAUUUCGUCUACUUAAAUUAUUAAAAUUAUUUUUGUGUUGUUUUAGGUCUUGGUAAAUUGUUUGAUUAAGUAAAAUCAUGAUUAAGUUAUUCUUGCAUUAUAAUUGUAAGGUAACUAAUGAAUUAAUUAUUUAAUCAUGUUGGAAUUAUAAUUAAUUGAAAAAAUACUUAAUCAAUGCAUGUUUAAUCUUCUAAGGUAGCUGAGGGUUAAAUUAGUGACAAUAUUAGACGAUAUAUUAGCCUUGCAUAACUUGCAAGAUUGUUAUGAUUAAAUUGUUUCAAGGUAGGAAUACAUUGUUGCCUCACUUAUCUUUUAUGUGCUUAUGAAGAUUGAUUAAUUUUUUAAAUUGGAAUUGGAAAAUUUUCAAGAGAUUAGUUAAUUUAAUAGGUACAUAUGAGCAGUAGUUAGCAAAUUACCAAGUUGCUGUGAAUUUAUUCGUAACAACAUGAACAUGAGUUUAGUAAUUCUAAGUUAAGAAAUGUAAUUAAUCUAACACAAUUAUGUCAUCUUGAUUAAAAUCAUCUUUUGAAAUCGUGCAUUGGAAUUUUUAUUUUUAUUUUAUUUAUUUUACGUAGUUAAAUUUUAGUUUUAAUCACUUCCUCAAAAUCAAAAUAUUUUUCUUCACCAAAAUGUUUUUAAUUGCAUUCAUAAAUAAUUUCUUACACAGUCCCUGUGGGUACGAUAACUUGACAUUACUUGUCACUUUAUUACUUGUUGCAAUUGUGUACACUUGCACAUAUCCAUCGUUCCAAGUUUUUGCCCCAUGGCCGGCCACACAUGUGGCAAGUUUGAAAAUUUCAAACUUGUUGUUUUUACAUAGGGGCAAAUCUAGAAAGGCUUAAUAAGUGGAGGGGUUUCAAUGCAAAUUCAAUGAGACUUCAAGGGCAAUUUUGCAAGCCAAAUUAGGUCAGCAUGUGGGACGGUUUUGGGCAACCUGUAACACCCCUUACCCGUAUCUGAUGUCGGGACAGGGUUCGAGGCGUUACCAGACUUAAACGUACACCAUUUCAUAAAACCAGGCCAUAAAAUUUCAUUUAAGAUUGAAACAUUCAGUCUCAUGCAUAAUUUCCCUUACACAAUCUACCAAGGCUCUGAACAUACAUUAAAGGCGGUUUGGGACUAAACCAAAAACUUUAGAAAGUUCAGGAAAACUUAUAAAUUUUUUUUCCAUGAAGCAGAGUCACACGCCCGUGUGUCUUCAACACACCCGUCUUCUCAGGCCUUGUAACUCUCUGACUAUGAUGUCAUCUUGCAAAAUGAACCAUAUGGUCAAGCCACACGCCCGUGUGCUAGGCCAUGCCCUCCACACAGCUGAGACACAUAGCCGUGUCUCUGCCCGUGUGGCCAACACUUAGGCUAGUUCCCAAGCCUUUUGUUGUCUUUAAUUCUCUCCCAUACUUAAACACGUCAUAGGCACAAAUUAUAACAUCAAUUUAAUGGUUAAUCAUCCUUUAGUGACAUUCAAUUAAAUCAUUUUCAUGUUGUCAUACAUGUGUUUUAUCACAUAUACUCAUGUUACACCAAGUUGGGCUUACUAGUUCACACUCAAUAGUCUUAUCAUACUGAUGACCAUUUUUACCAAUUAACCAUAAUAUUUAACCCAACACUUAAUCUCUACUUAAUCAACAAUGUUCAUGUUCAAUCAUUAUCAACUUAUUACCAUGCCACACAUUUAUUCCAUGACCAUGACCACCUCAAAUGGUCCUAAGGCGUUCAUCAUGUGCAUAUGCCAUAUACUACCCAUUCAUAGUAAUAAGCAUAAUCACAUCACAAGGUAUUAACACAUAGCUUGGAUAAAUAGGCUUACGAGCCAUAACCAUUAUAAGCCACAUCUCAUGGCUAUAUACAAUAAAUCAAUAUAUACCAAUACAUUUGGCUAAUCAUAAUAACAUCUAUAAUAAAAACUAAGUCUUUAUACAUGCCACUCACAUGUGUACAAUUAACUUAUACAUGUUAACACUUCAAAGGUGAUGGCUUGAUAGUGUGAUGCUGCCUCUGACGAUCUCCAACCCCGAGCUAACCUGACAACACUAAAAGAAAUGGAAAUAGGGGAGUAGGAUUUAUGCUUAGUAAGCUCGCAUGAAAAUAAUAAGCAAGGAGUUAAUAUGCUAUUUCAAUUUCUCUCUAUUUAUUCAAAAUCCAAUCAAGCUGUUUACUUGAUUCACAGUCACUAAGUUAUUUAUAUCUAGAGCUACGAAACUCUAAAUUAAUAUAUGCUAAUUAUCCCUGAAACUAGACUCAAAUAACUUCUUAUGAUAAAAUUUCAUAAUUUUUGGUCUAGCCAAUAAGUAAAGUUUAUUCUUCAAAGUUACCCCUAUUUUGCUGUCUCGAAGUUUCGACCUCUCUUCACUAUGAAUUAAUUAUCUCAUAGUACAAGACUUGGAUGGAGAUUAUGUCUAUUUCUCUUUAAAAUGGAUUCAUUAAGUAUUUUAGGCAUAUAAAUUAUAAUCCAUAAUCAUUUUUUUACAAUUUUUAAUUAUUUUCAAAAAUUAAGAUAGGGGAGUCUGAUAUCACUCUGACCCUGUUUCACAAAAAUUAGAAUAUCUCAUCAUAUGAUAUUCCUUUGCUUACACUAUUUCCUUUAUCUGAAACUAGAAUCGAUAAGAUUUAAUGUAAUAUUUUACUCAGCCUCUAACUCAAUUUACACUAUUUUUGGUGGAUUUUCAAAGUCAGACUAUUACUGCUGUCCAAAUAGUUUUAGAGAAAUAAAAUGAUAAUCAUCAUAAGAUUGCCAUGAAAAUUAUUCACACAUGAAUCACUCAUUCAUUUGCAUUCUUACCACAAAUCCAUUUCAUUUCACAUGUCAAACACAUGUUCGUGGGUUUCGAGUACGUACCUGUGCUAUCUCUUAGCACAACUACUCGUCCAAACAUGACAAUCUUAUAUAUAUCUAGUAAGAACUUUUAAUUCAUUUCUCGUAUUAAUCCCGUUGAACCUUCUCAAAAAUUUCGAUGGAUAUCCCAUGUACCAUUAAGUCGUACAAGUGAUCAUUUCAAGUACGCACUCCCGCGAACCCCACUCAUUACGAUGGGAUUAGCAGUCCAGGCUAAAUCCUUUACAAUGACAUACACUCUCAUAAACUCGGAUCUGAAUCACCAGUCCAGGCUAAAUUUAAUCCUUAAUCGGAUUACCCGUCCAGGCUAAAUCCUUAAUGCACCCAUAUUCUUCAGGAGGCUCGAUCACUUAAGGAACACCCGUCCGGGCUAGAUCCUUUCUAUAUUGAGAUCAACGAAUUACCCGUCCGGGCUAAAUCCUUUUCUGCAACACAUGCAGGAUCUCAUGUCAUGUAAAUAAUGAUUUAUCCAUCGGAUAUCCCUUUUUAUUCAACCGAGAAUUUUCUCUUUUCAUCAAGUAUAUCAAUAUGCAUAGAUGAUCAUGCAAUGUGCAUUCAAUUCAACACAUUUUCAUGUUUAUUUGGGCAUUAGUCCAUACAAUAAAAAUAACAUAUCACCUAGUUUUCAUACAAACUUAUUCAUUUCAUUUAAAAUAUCAUAUUCCAUCAAAUUUCCAUUAACAUCAAAUUCAAUACAAUCAUAGCAAGAUAUAUCCCAUGUAUAACAAUAAUAACAUGAAUAAUAGGCUUAUUAAAUCACGGGAACUUACCUCGAAUACGGAAACGACAAAGUUACCAUUUUAAUCCAUAACAUUGUAUUUUCCCGAUUUAAUCCCGAAUCUCAAUUUCCUUGAUCUAUCAUUUCAAAUAUAGCCUAUUUAGGACUCACAUUGUUCAAAUUGACCCAAAAAUCAUAUUUUUACAAAAUUACAUUUUUGCCCCUAAACUUUGUCAAAAUUACACUUUUUCCCCUAGGCUCGUAAAAUUAUUUUUAUUCAAUUUUAUCGCUCUAUAGGCCUAGCCGAACCAUUUUUAUAACUAUAGAAAACUACAAUUCUCAUCAAAACACCCUUUUAUACCAUUUUUACAACUUUUACAAAAUGGUCCUUUUGGAUGUUCUCAUCGAAAAUCGCUUAGUAAAAGUCGUUUAUUUAACACCCAACACUCAUUUUCUACCAUUAGACAUCAAAAUGCAUGCAUAUCACACCUGGGUCAAUUUUUAAACAUGAACCCUAGCUCAAAUUAAUAGUAGAAAUAGAUAGAUCUUGUUACAGGGAUUGCAAAAACAUAAAAAUCAUUAAAAAUGGGGCUAGAACGGACUUACAAUCGAGCUUGGAAGCUUGAAAAACCCUAUCCAUGGUUUCUCCAUGCAAGUUUCGGCCAAGAGGUUGAAGAUGGACAAAAUUGGCUUUUAAUUUUGUUUUUAAUUCAUUUUAAUAACUUAAAUGACCAAAAUGCCCUUAAUGAAAAACUGUGGAAAAAUGCCUAACCAUGUCCAUUUUUGUCCACCAACUUAACCAAUGGUCUAAUUACCAUAUAAGGACCUCCAAUUUAAAAUUUCAUAACAAUUUGACACCUCUAGCAUGUAGAACUCAACUUUUUCACUUUUUACUAUUUAGUCCUUUUGACUAAAUUGAGUGCCUAAACGUAAAAAAUUUCAAACAAAAUUUUCACGAAAUCAUUCCGUGAAAUUUUAAACCAUAAAAAUAUAAUAAAAACAAAAUUUUCCUUAUCGGAUUUGGAGUCCCGAAACCACUGUUCCGAUUAGGCCCAAAAUCGAGAUGUUACACAACCCAUUGCUCAAUUGGAUCAGUUUUCUCGGUUCAGUACAACUGAGCCUUUUUUCAUAAUUUAAUUAAUAAUAAUUAUUUAACCCAAAAUAAAUUGGAUUAAAAUUAAAAUUAAUUAUAUUAUGAAUUAAUAAUAUUCAUAAUUUAGACCGUCUUAGAUUGAAAAAUUAAUUCGCCUUGAUGCUUCAAAAUCGCUUCUCGGUUUGUGCUUCCAGUAGUGUCUGCCAAGCCAAUUUUCGCCAUUUGUACGAAUCUGUUGAAAAUAAAUCAAAAUUAAUCAAAAUUUAUUAUAAAAUUAAUUAAAAUUCAACAUGUUAAUAAUUUAAGUAAAAUUUAAUUAUUUUAUAAUUAUUAUAUAUUUUUCGACAAGAAUUACUACGAAAUUGUAUGAAUUUAAGUUAAAAAAUGCAUGAAAAAGUGUGUAUAUUUUCUUGUUUCCAUCGUGCGACUUCUUUUCACACGGUUAUAGCUUAUCACACGACUUGGAUACACAGCCGUGUGAUCUUUUUUUGCUGAAAUUUCUAUUUUUUUGUUAAGUUUACAAUUAAGCCCUUAUUUGUUUCUAGGUUGGUUUAAGAGCUUUCAUAAGCUCGUUUGAGACUCGAAUUUGUUUAUGAAUCAUAUAUUGCUUGGAUUAUGUAAUGUUUUAUUGUUUAAUGGAAUGUUUAAAGUCAAAUUUGUUUAUGAGAUCUUUUGUUAACUGUAGUAGUAGAAUAUAGCUUAGGUCCAACGAUCAAAUUGGAUGAAAAGUGUUACAAAAAAUGUCAAUUCAACAAAUAUUUCUAACUAUUUCAAAGAAGUUGUUAUACUGAAUGUUAUAACAGAAUGCAACAACAGAUUACAACAUUCAAAGUUUCUAACAAUUACUUUUUAAAAUAGCAAUAAACAUUGAAAUUACAAUGAGCUUUCAUCAAUUUAUGUAGUAUGGUACUUGAACUUUAAUUUAAUAAGAAGCGGUAAUGCACAUGAUAUUUUGAUUUUUAUUCAGUUGUAUAUAAAAAUUUUAUUUUGAUUUAAUCUAGCAUAUUUUUUUAAAAAAAGAAGACUUUUAUUAGUUUUAUAAUUACUAUUUCACAAAUUUCAUUUUUAAAAUGAUAUAUAAUUGUUUUAUUUAGUAAAUUUAAAUUUAUCAUAUUUUAAAAAAUAUUUCUAAUUUUUUAAUUUCUUAAAAUAUUUUAUAAUUAUUUUAAAUAUAUUUUAAUAUUUAAAAAUUUAAAAGUAAUAUACUAUUUUGAAAUAUAAAUUUAAAGUGCAAGGACCAUAUUAAUACAUUUCAUAAACUUCAUGCUCCUUUAUAAAGUUAUUCUAGUUUUAAUUAUGAGAAACAUUAUCCUACAUCAAGAUAUUCAUUGAAAAUGUACCAAAAAGAAUUUACAUCAGGCUAUGUUUUAUUUUAUUUUAUUUUUUUGGUCUUUUAUUAUUCGUGCAAUGCACAAUUGAUUUAUGUUUAAAUUAAAAUAUAUUAAAAUAAUUUAUAUUUUUGAUAAAAUUUUAUAAAAACAUGAAUAAAUUUAUGAUGGUCUGUGAUGCCAGUAUUAUUAGUUAUCUAAAAAAUUAUUAUGUUUUAAAAUUUUAACAGUAUUUUUAUUUGUUUAAAAGCCUGUUAUGCAAAUAAAUCUUUUAAUUUUAAUUUUAAAUUUUUAUAUAUUUUAAUGUGUAUUUAAAAAUAUUCUGUUCAAAACUAUUUAAAUUUUUUUAAUUUUUGAAUGUUGUUUUAUAUUUAUUUUUUGUAUUUUCAAAAGUAUUCCGUAAUAAUUCAAAACAUUAUUUUAUUUGAAAUUUAAUAUACUUAUAAAUUAUAAUAAUUUAUAAAUUUUAAUAAUAUUUUAAAAUUGUUUAUAAAUUACGAUUUAGAUUGUUUUUGGUUAUUAUAACAUACUUAAAUAAAUUCAAAAAUAUUUUUAAAUUCAAAUUUUAAAGAUUGAUAAGGUUAAUAUUUUAAUAUUAAAGACUUAAUAUUAAGUGUUAAAACAAUAGAAAGUAUUAUUGAAGCUUGAGUUAUUCUUAAAGGUUUAUGUAUCGUAUGGGAGAAUGAUUAUAGACAGUUGGAGGUCGAAUGUGAUAAUGCACUUCUUGUGGAGACCUUACUAGCAGAUAACGCUGCCAGCAGUAAUUUGACGGAGUUACGAUUAAUCAAUAGUUUGCUUAAGCGAGAUUGGAAAAUAAAAAUUCGACACAUUCUUAGAUCUCAAAAUAUAGUUGUUGAUCAAAUGGCGAAAUACAUUUAUGACAAUCCACUGGGCCGAACGCUUCUCGAGGAUCCUCUGAUUUCUAUUCAAGAGAUUUUAGAGUCUCAAAGUGAUAUCUAUAACCGGAUUAUUUGAUUUUAUUGUAUUCACUUAAUGCUAUUAAUUUCCAGAAUGAAAUAUUUUUUGUAAUUUAAAAUUUUGAAAAAUUGUAUUAAAGAAAAAGAUAUAGUUUUAAAAAAAACAUAUUUUAAAGUGAUUGAAAUAUGAAAAAAAGAAUAUAUUCAGUAUACUUGUUUAGCUUUUUUUUAAGUAUUAUAUAUUUAUUUAGUUAACCAUAAUGGUAUAAGUAAUUAUAUUCUGUAAUAUUUGCAAUUUUAAUGUGGUACACCAUGUUAAAUUGGGUACAUAUUAUUUAAAUGGAAAUAUAUUUUUUAUUUGACAAAAAAUUGAGUAAAAGUAAAUUAUACAAAUUUAGAUGUCAUAAUAAGCAAUGAUAUUUAAAUUGGAUUAGAUUAGUUGGUAUAGGGGUGAGCAAAACUUGAUUCGACUUAGAAAAAUAAAAUAAAAAAUCAAAUUUCGAGUUAAACGAAUCGAGUUAUUCAAAUUAAUCGAAUUUUUUGAGUCAACUGAAAUUUUUUUUUCAAAUUUCGAGUUCGAAUCGAGUUUGAUUUUCAAAUUCGAAUAACCCGAAUAAAACAAAUAUCAAAUUAUAAUAUUUUACAUUUUUACCCUAAACUCACAAACCUAUCUACUUUCCCCAAAAAUUUUUACUUCCUCCCACUUUCUCCCAAAAACUUUUAUUCCUCUCCCAUCCCACUCUCCUUCUACCCCAAACCCAUUUUCCCCCAUUUUUUUUUGAAUAUUUGUCCCCAAAAUUUUACUCUCUCAUUUAUUUUUCCCCCAAAAUUUUACUCCCUCAACUACUAAAACUUUUUAUUUUUUCCCAAAACUUUUAUUCCUCUCCUAUCUCACCCCCCUUCUACCCCAAACCCAUUCCCCUGCCCCCAAUUUUUUUUAAUAUUCCCCCCCCCCCAAUUUUACCCUCAAUCUCCAAAACUUUUUAUGUUCCCCGUAAACUUUUACUUCUCAACUUUUACCCCCAAAUCAAAAAUUAAAAUCAUUCAAAAAAAUCUCUGAACCUAAAUAGUAAUAAUUUUAUUUAUAUCUACUAUUUAUUUUAUUAAAUUAAAUUUCACAUUUUGUACUAUUUAUAUUAUUAAAUUGUUUAAUCAUAUUGAAUUUUUAUAAAUUUUUGUUAAAAUUGAAUUAUUGAUUGUGCUAUAAAAUAUUCAUGUUAAAUUUUACGUUGGUAUCAAUUUCACAUUUUAUCUUUAAGAUAAAUUUUAUUUAAAAAUAUCAUUUUUUUAAUUUAAAAAUACAUAGUGACAAGAAUCAGAAAAUAAUUGAAGCAACUAAGCAAGCAAAGAAGCUAACCCGUAUAUAAAAAAUUAAUAAAUAAAUUAUGAGGGGAUGAAAAUUAAUAACAAAUUUGAUUAUGGUGGGAAAUUUUUAUUAUGUUAGGUGACAGCGAUUGCAAGGACUCAAAAUCAUUUUUUUAAAUUUAACUCGAAUAAAUAUAUUCGAUUUGAAUUCCAUCUCACUCGACUCGAUUACAGAAAAUUUCAAAUAGAGUUAGGAUGAUAAAAUAAGAUUCGUCAACUUGAUUAGCUUGAAACUUUUUCAUUCGAUUUGAUCGAACACUCACCUCUAAGUUGGCAUAUCAGUCUAAAAAAAGGAGUUAGAUCGGUUAACCAAGAAAACAUUUGAAACUAGUUGAAUGAAGCUAAAAAUCGAUGAAACUGCCAAUUAAAUCAAAUUUCUCUAUUUUUAUUUUUCAAUUUUAAUACUUAUUUAAUUAAACUAGAUGAAUCGAUUGAAUUAAGAACAGUGAUCUGAUUUAUUAGACUACUAGUCUAAUUGUGAAAGCCUUGGUAAAAAAAUAUAUGAUUUGACUGUAACUAUUAAAAUUAUCUUAUAUUUUCAUUAGAAAGUAAUGAAUAAUUGUAUAUGAUAAGAAUGGAGGUAAUAUGAAAUUUGAAUUGUCAAUUACUCAUGUCCAUGGAUUAAUUUAUGUUUAAAUUAAAUAUAUUAAAUAAUUUUAUAUUUUAAUAAAUAUUAUUAUUGUAAUGCAUGGGUUAAUAUUGACUUAUGACUUAAUUAAUUUUUUAUUUUAAAAUGUUUAAAGUUUGAUAUAAAGAAAACAAAAAUUAAUAAUAUAUUUUGAAUUUAAUUUUAUGGUAAUAUAUAUAUUCAUGAAAUGGUAGAAUUUGAUAAUAACUUAAAUUACGUUUGCAAUAUUGAUUAUUAUAUAUUUAAAUUAUAAUUUCUACAAAAAAAAUAUUUUACCACAAAUAAUUUUUCUUUAAACCCUAACCCUAAUAUUUUAAAAUAUAAAUUAAGUAGGUAAUAUAAUUAGCUUCAAAAGUGUGUUAUAGUUAUUAAAUAUUUUAUUUACAAUGCAUAUUUAAUUCGCAGAAAUAUUUUUAAAUAAGAAAUUUGAUAGGUCCAAAUUGUAGCAAGUUAAGUUAAAAUUUAUAACUAUUAUGUAGAACAUAAAAUAAUUGACAGUAAUUUUUAUUUUAAAUUUGAUUUUAACGGAAUAUGAAGCAUCGUAUUAAAUUAAUAAUAAAUAAAGUAUAUAAUGGAAAUGAAAAAGGAUUAAGUUAUUUAAAAUGUAUGAUGCAAAAAGGGUAAUAAUCUUAGGAAACCUAUUCAUUCUUUAUAAAAUAAAUGAUUCUGCUUAUUGUCUUUUUUAGUUUGAGCAACAUAGUGCACAUCUUGGUAUUCAAUUUCAAUUCUAUCUUUUUAUGAUGUUGAUGCAUAUUCUCUAAACAAAAUCUAAGUUGCAAUCUCGGAUAAUGUUUAAUAUGAGUAUUUUAGUUAAAAUAGCAUUUUUCAAAAGUUAGUUCAAUUAAAUUAAUUUUAAAAUAUUUAGAACUUUUUUUUUUUGAGAUAUUUGAAAUAAUAUCAAAGGAUUGAUAAUUUUUCAGCUCUGUCUUGUAGAAAUCUCUAGACUCAAUUAUCCUUCUUCUUGAAGAAAGAUCAUUUUUAUCAACACUGUAAUCAUAAAAGUAAGUUUAUAAUUAUAAUCAUAUAAGAAAACAAUCCUAAAUAAAUAAAUAAAUAAAUUACAAGACUUUGUCUUAAUAAAACAUAUGUUACAAGAUAAGGAUCUAUAUUAAACAAAUUUAUUGAUUCACAUGACGAUUCAUUUCUAUGUCUCUUUGAAGAACUAUCUCUUACCAUCGCCAAAAUCUACGUAUAAUUAACGUAAAUUGUUAUUAUAUAUUAAAUCAAUUAUAAAAAAAUGAUAAAAGUUAUGAACACAACAAUAAAAAGAUGAAAUCUAAAAACUAAUUUACCACGUACCAUAAACUUUUUCUAUUCUAACCUAAGUGUUAUAUAUAUAUAUAUAUUUGAUAUGGUUUUUAUAAUCAGUAUACAAAUCCCAAGCCAGAGAUAAUAGUUGGGAUUAUUUUCAAAUUUGUUUAUUUUAUUUUAAAAGAAAAAUAUGAAAAAUUACAUCUAAUAGGUGGAAAAAAAAAUUUAAUCAUGCAAACAAAUACAGACUUCUUAACUAUCAAAAAUGGAAAUUUAAAAAUACAAAAUCAGCAUCUCAAUAAAUCAAUAAAGAAAACAUAUUAGAAAAGAGAAAAGACCUAUCAAAACCCAGCUUAAUGAACAAAUAAUAAUAAUAAUAAUAAUAUUUUAUCGUUAAAGGAUAUUUUGCAUGUAAAUUUUAAGGGAAAUAGCGUGUACGAGAAAAGAAGAAUAGAGCACUGAAUCAAGACACAUGGAUUAACAUGUGGCUAAUUUUAGACAUACUGUUUUUUGAUAUUUUUCAGGUUUAUUUUAUUAUCUGUAUUUGAAAUUUGUGUUAUCCUUCUCAACAGAUAAACAUUAUGCUAUUUAUUAUUGUGUAAAGGAAAAGAAAAACUCAUCUACUUAUCCAAUGAGCCAGAAGCCAUCCAGCCCUCAAAUUAUUACUCAUGAUAAGUGUGUUAAACAGAUAUCCCAUUUGGGAUUUUUUUCAAAACUAAAGUUAUUGAUUAUAGAUUAAAAAAAAAAGGGUGCUAAAUUGGUAAAAGCGUAAAGUGAUUUUUGCAAUGAAAUAUAAGUAUCUUUUUAUUUAUUUAUUUAUUACAAAACAUGGGGGGGUGUUAAGGCAAUGGAAAAUUAAUACAAGUAGUUGAAGCACAUGAAUCCCAAGAUAAAUGGAUAUUAUCCAUGGGCCCAUCUUGAACUCGGACGAAUUGGAAGAUAUAUUUGAUAUCAUCAUAAGCUGGUUGGGCCAGCCAUUCUACUUUUGUUACGCUCAUUUAUGAUAUUAAGCCCUUUUUUUUUUUGGGUCACUUCCAAAGAACCCACACAUAAAAAUAUUAUGAUCUUUAUUUUAGUAUAAUAAGGAUAGAGCGAAGAGUGACAAGUCUGGCUUGUAUUUUGCUGGCAAACUUGUAGCUUCGAAUGGAUAAGAGUUGAGAGCCUCUGUGGUCUUGGGCGAUAACUGCUCCACCACUCAUGCUAUUUCGCCUGCAAUGAUCAAUGCAAAGAGAGAGUGCCCAUUCUGAGACAGGAUUAUCAAUAAGGUCCGAUCUUGGAAUUCUUAACUGAUGGCUUUGCAAGUUGUUAAUGGGAAAGGCAUUCAUUAUGGAAUCAUGGAGAUUUUGGGUCCUUAUGACUGCCCUUGCUGGAGAAUGAUCGACCAUUCUGAAAAUGAGUUGAUUCCUUGAUUUUCAAUUUAUCCAGAGAGUGCAUGCUGCAUAAGUGUAAAAAUUCUUUGAAUCGAUGGAGCUGAUGUUGUUUGAGUUGAGCCACUGAAGAAACCAGGAUGAUAGAGAAGAAAUUCGGAGACAGUCGGAUAAGAGGACAAGAGAAGAACCAAACCACUGCUCGAUCGAAACUGCAUUGAAGGAAGAGUUGUUUAAUGGAUUCCCUGCCAUCUUUGCAAAAACAAAAAAAACAAAAAACAACACACAGAGGUUAUCAUCAUCGGAAAGGCGUCUUGAGAAGAGCUCCUUGGUUGGAAGGCAAUUUGUACAUAUUUUCCAAAGGAAGAUGGUAAUAUUGUAAGGGAGUUUAAGCCUCUAUAGAUUAGUCUAUGUUUUGUUAGAGGGUGAGGCUGCAGAAGUUGAAGGAUUAAAUUGACACUCACAGGCAUAAACACUCUUCACACAAAAGCGACCAUUAAAGUUAAAUUUCCAUACAAAUUUGUUUUUACCACCCUGUAUCGAAAGGGUCCUGCUGCGGAGGUCAGAGGCCCAAUCAUGAUUGACGACGAUAUUGAGAGAUUUCUUUUGAUCCAAGAUAUUGAUGCUGGGGAGAGUACAAGCAUGAACUUAAAAUGUUGGGACAGACAAUUUAAUAGUAUCAACAAGAGGGAGAUUAGUAUUUGGCUCUUAGAAUCUUUGUGAGGAAACAAUUGUGAUCAGUCAUUAUGUGCCAUGCAAUUUUGGUGAGAAGGGCAUCAUUGAAGGUGUUGAUCUUCCUAAUACCCAGAUCACCAGCAAACAAUGGUGCACAAAUUUGUUUAAUUUAUUCUUAUUUUUUUUAGUUAUAAGUAAUAACCCUUCCAAUAUUUAGAUACAAUCGG
Molecule: long non-coding RNA, 56196 nt
Filed under: Gossypium barbadense (sea-island cotton)
Lineage: Eukaryota; Viridiplantae; Streptophyta; Magnoliopsida; Malvales; Malvaceae
Description: long non-coding RNA (GBAR_LNC000634)
Source: RNAcentral